GUUCAGCGUGAAUGCGCAUGAUUCUAGUAACAAAAAUUCUGGAAGUUUUCCAAUAUUCACUUUUUUGUUUUUAAAAAUUUCAAGAAAUACGUUCGUUAAAAUAUUUGCUACAUUGCUUAAAAAAAAAAUGCUAGAUAAAUAAAAAAUAAGCUGAGUUAAAACAUGCGAAUUGUUAGAGAAUACAAAUAUCAUUCACCUUUAUCACUUUAUCUUAAGAUUUUAUUUUUUUAGUUUUUAUAGAAAUACAAACAACGAUAGCCAUGACACAACAAUUGAAGUUGCUGUCGAUUGACUAAAAGGUCACAGAUUCACAAGUUUGAGUUGUGAAAUCACGAAGCUGAUAAAGAUUUUAAUGUAAGACACGAAUCUCGAAUUAUUCAUCACAACUAUUUGACAUCCCCAAAGUUGAAAAAUCCUAUCAACAUCAUACAAACUGAUGACAACACAUAAAGGAAUGUCAAAAGGGUGGGGAUAAAAAAUUAAGAGAGUAUUGUGAGUUGUAACAAUAAUAAACAUCACAUAAAAAUAAAUUUAUGCACACAUUAUGUGAAAAAAUAAAUAAAUAUAACAUAUACAGAACUUAAAUAUACACAUAUAAAAGUUAUUUUAAAUAAAUUGUUCGGGGAUGGAGUCUCCACGGGGUGGGGGAUAAAAUUCUAUCCACAUCCCCAAACACCAUUUACAGAUCAAAUUGACAUCGUAUUGUUAGCCAAACAUCAUAAGAGGUAUAAAUAGCUUUAUCAUCUGGUUUCAAUUAAGUUGCAUACCCGAUAAAUAGUAUACAAUGACGUACGCCGUAUCACAGAUUCCUUUAAAAGAUUUAGCAACAUAUGAGCUUGCAUUGGAAUUUCAGGUUGAAUGGAGCCUGCUAAAUCAAGACAGAGAUUGUCAUAGCCUCUAAAAACUUAAUAGUUACAACAGAAUUGCCAAAUAGUGGUAAACACACUAGAAUGUAUGGGAAUGGAAAUUAAGUAUUUUAAUAAAUAAAUAAAUAAAUGGAGAAUUAUGGCACUAUCAUGGUAAUCACCUGCUUCGUGUGGAACUAAAUCUAAAGAAAUUGAAUGUAGAUCUUGUUCCAUCCUAGAAAGCUUAUGCUGAGAUGUCUGCUGGUUUUCAGAGCUUGGUUCAAUUGAAUUUCUCUCCCACUUGAUAAGUUCAUUUAAUAUUGAGUUUGUAUAUUCAUGUAUCUGGACUUCUCCAACCAGAGAUCCGUUUGAAUUUGAAGUAUCCUCUUGCAUACUAUAUAUUCCACAUGGUAACUCUUCCCAGUAACUAAGAGGUUCUACGCCAAUAUGAGAUUCUUUUUCUGCAGCAAAUUAAUAUUAGUGAGUCCAGUGAUAAGUAGAAGGUAAGAGAGGUAGGCUAUACUAUAAAUAAGUGAGUGAGUUAGAUUUGAAUUAUUUGUGAUUAAGAUGGUAAGAGAGGUAGGCUAUACUAUAAAUAAGUAGAAGGGAUUGAGGAAGAGUGUCAAGUGAUUUGAGAAAGUGUUGAGGCCUUAGGAACGGAAUGAGCCACAUUGUUGUUCUGUAAUCAGGGAACUUCCUUAUUUUUUUUAUUUUUUUUAUCUAAGGGAACUUCCUUAUUAUUAUUAUUUUAAUAAGAUACGAUACCAAGUUCCAAUCAACUAGUAGCAGAGCUAUGACAAUACUGCAUUUUGUCCAAAAUUUGACAGAGAGAAAGCUUAUUAGUGGCUAUUCAAUGCAAAAUUUUGAGGCCAAUAAAAUUGUUGAGAUAAGCAGCAGCAAAUAAGGAGGCAUGAAAUCUCCUACAAACAGUCAUACACUUUGUUGUUGUUUCAUAAUGACAUAUCCACCAAUGUUAAAUGAUACUGAGUGCAUACUGCAUAGUUUACCGUACAUUCUGACUAUCACUAAAUGAGAAUAACUAUAGGUUAUUUUUACGAAGUGCCAAUAGGUUCUAUUUAGGUCACUCUAUUUCACAUAAAUUGAACCAUAAGAGCAAGACAACAGCAGUUUUUCUGUUCCAAUCCCAUGUAUUACAUACCAGAGGCUUGUCGAUCUGGAGAAACUGGCGAUACAGAAGAAAGAAGAAAAGUUGAAUCGUCUUUUGUAGGCCAGUGAACAAGAAGGCUCCUCCUUCCAAAUGCAUCUCGGCCAAACCAAAGGGUCCUUGAACUAUCCUGCAAUAAAAGAAUGUGCACUGCCACCUAUGACCCCACAACCACAAGAAUAUACACUGCUUUAAAAUUUGUACAGACAGAAACUUACCACUUUUAGUUACCUGCCAAUAAACGAUAGCCCAUGGUCCCUUAAUUGUAGAAAGAACAUCUGUGACGGAACCUUUCCCACAUUUAACACAGAAACCAGUCAAAAAAGAGCCACAGGAGCAACAAUUUCCGAGCGUCUGCAUGAGAAAUUCGGCAUCAUUGCAAUCAGUAGCAAGUUGAAGUCCUCCAAAAAUCUCACCUAAAGAGCAUGACAAAAAAUUAAAAUUUAAAACAUCUUAUUGCAAACCAUUCACUAAGAGAUAGACAUUCCACGAAUUAAGUUGAAGUCCUCUCUGAACCCUGUUUUUCAUUCAUUCUGACCCUGUUUUUUUUUGUUCACCUCUCUUACUUCACUUUCCUUCACUCUGUUUUUUCACCACACUCUGUUUUUCAUUCUUUUUUCAACUGUGACUGUAAUGGCCUUUUUUUUGAGUUAUUUUAUGAACUUAGUAUUUGGUUGUUAUGAGCUUAUGAAAUAUUAAUUAAUGUUGUGAUUUGUAAGUUAUUUUGUUCAUGUAUUAUAAUUUUUGUAUUCGUGUGUAUAUAUCUAUAUGUGAAGUUACAAUUUUUGCCCUUGAGUAGGAUCUUACAAAUCGUGCCAUGACCCUCGUGCUUAGAUCCUUCACCAGCCUACCGAUCCUGUUUAGAAACUCGAUUAUGAAUACAUUGCUCACGACGAACAUGAUAUCAUGGCAAAAACAAGAGAGGCCCAAUUUAGAUAAACAGCUUAUAGCAUAAUCGCUUAUCAUGAUUAGCGCUUAUCUAGAAAAUUCCGAUACUCUAAAAUUGCAAGUAUCGCGUCAGAUACUGUAUACUACAAUGAUAUGUGUCAGAUACUUCCCGAUACGUAUCAGAGAAGUAUCCAGUGAUUAAAUUUUAUUUUUUUACUAGAAAAAUAUCAGACACAUUUGCGAUACUUCCUAAUAAGUAUCGGAGAAGUAUCUAGUGAUUAAAUUUUAUUUUUUUAAUACAAAAAUAUCAGUCACAUUUCCGAUACGUUGUUUCUUGAUGAUGGGAAUGGAGGAGAGGAGACUAAAACAAUUGAUGUUAACCCUUAAGUAGUGAAUAUUAGAUUAUGAUAUUCUUUUUAUAUAGUAUUGAUGAUGUCUUUUAAGAUAUGUAAUUCACUUGAUUAGAUAAUUUUAGUAAUGUGAAUGUUUAUUUUAUCAUCAAUUUUAGUUUUUUUUUUUAAUGCAUAUUAUCAAUUUUAGUUAAGUUUAUAUAUUUUGCAUUAUAUAUUUAAUUUUAAAUUAAUUUUUUUUUAUUAAAGUAUCUUUGCCUCAUCGUAUCUUAAAUUUUAAAAAUUUCCCAUCGCCGUAUCGUAUCUGUAUCAAGUAUCUGGGCUGCUUGGCCGCUUAUCUAUAAGCUAUUUCUAUAACAAAAGAUAAAUCAAAUUGUUUUCAUAUAAGUUAUAAGCUACUUUCAUAUUCAUAAGCUAUCUUAGAGAAUUUUAUGAAAAUAACCUAAAAACAGCUUUUGAACAAGUGACAAGUUGUUUUCAUAAUUUCUCCCAAACAGUUUCACAAAUGUUUAUGCCAAUACAUAAACUUAAAUAAGUCAAUCCAAAUAAGCCAAAAUAUUCUACAAUCAGACAAAGUAGCAGAAAGUACCGUUAUAAAGAAGAAUGUUUCGAGAAGCAUCCACUAAAGGUUGAACAAGAGGAAGAGUUCCUCUAAGCUGCAAAGUUGCACCAAUGAAACAAAGUUCACCGUUACCAUCAUUGUGUGGAAAAUUAAUUUUCUUUACACCCAAACUAUCAGGACCUCUUCUCCGCAGAGCUUCUUUCAGGUCAUCUAAAGAAAUCACCAACUGCACAAAAUCAUACGAUAAAAAAAGAAUGGUGUUAAUUGUUUUUCGUAACAAGUUGUAAUAAGGUUAGUGAUUUUGAAUUAGAAUUUGGUGGUUACAUUUUCGGAUUGGCGAUUUGGGGAAGCUGAAUCGAAUGGAAGAGAUGAGAUGUUGAUUCGAAUGCCUGAGACUGUCAACGCAAUUCCACACAUUUUUCUUUCUGCUUCUGUUCUGGGGAAUGUGGUUUUUUUUUGUAGGGUUUUUGAUGGUUAACUCAGUUUGGUUCUGCUUGUAUUCAUAUUUUAAUUUUAAUUUAAUUUACAAUUUUAUUGUCUUCCGAACAAGGUUGCUUCCGUAGCAUAGUGGUAGUGCGUUCGCUUCGUAAGCGAAAGGUCGCGAGUUCGAUCCUCGCCGGGAGCUAUAUUGUUUUAGGUUAUGUUUGAAUAUGAAAUGUGUUGUUAAAUUUUAAGCUUAAUUUUUUUUUUUGAAGACAGGCUUAAAUGUUAUGUAGCCCUAUUAUUUUGAUUGAAUUUGGAUUUAACCACCUAUUUUUAAAAAUGUAAUAAUAUAAAUUAAAGUAGCACAAAUAAGUUUAUUUUUAAGACAAAAUAAGUUAUAAAAAUAUAAAAAUUAAAUAAAAACAAAUAUGCCCUCCAUUUCUUGUUAAAUGUCGUUUUUGAAGAAUUUUUUUGUUGUCUCGUGAAUUUAGCUCAGUGGGCAAGGACUCGAACCCCAUCAUUCCACUUAUUCACUUUAAGGGUGAAAUUUCUAGCCUAACUUUCUCGAUAACUCGACUUCACAUUUUUCGUAAAAUUUAAUGGAGAGUGGAAUAGUGUAUAUGCUAAAUUUAUUUUGAAAAAGAAAAUGAGAGUGUAUAUUAAUCUUGUCGUCAUUUGAUUAUCUCUGUGUUUAAUUUUUUUUAGGCUUAAUUGCAGUUUUGAUCCCCUAUUUUCACUAUUUUGCAGAUUUAGUCCCCCUAUUUUAAAAUGUGACAGUUUUGGUCCCCCUAUCAUAAUUUUUAACUAUAAAUUGGCGAUGUGAUAUGUUUUAAACGACGUGACAUAUGAUAUGAUGAUGAGAAAAUAUCAACAUCGAUGAAAUUGCAAGAUAAAUCCUUCAUAAAGUUAAUUUAAAACAUGUUGUAUCACCAUAUUUUAGACCAAAAUUGGUGAAUUUUAAAAUAGGGGAACCAAUUCUGCAAAAUGGUGAAAACACGGGGACAAAAACUGCAAUUAAGCCUAUUUUUUUACGAAUUGGCGAAUUUAUGAAUUGUUUUUGAGUCGAUUGAUUACUAACCAUAACCAUUGAAACUUAAAUAUGAGAUCAUUGUUCAGUCAAUAAGUGUUUUAGACAUAUCGAAUUAUUGUACUGUGAUAAAGAUAAUUAAUGUGCUAUCAAACUUUAUAUGAUUUUGAAUUCGCCUAAGACAUUAGUGUAUUAUUAUGAUAGAAAAAAGUUUUUAUUGGUCUGAACUAUUUUGUUAAUUCAUCGUAACAACAAGAGUAAAAUUAUAAUCUAAGGCUGAUUUUACCAAAUUGUGAAUAGGAAAUGAUUCCAAGAACCUGUUCAUCUAUAAUCUAUUUGAAAAUCACCAAUAUUUACUAANNNNNNNNNNNNNNNNNNNNNNNNNNNUACUUAUAAACCAUCAACUUUUUGAAAAAAAAAAAAAGUAAAAUUGUAAUCUAAGGCUGAUUUUACCAAAUUGUGAAUAGGAAAUGAUUCCAAGAACCUGUUCAUCUAUAAUCUAUUUGAAAAUCACCAAUAUUUACUAAUUUGUUUGAUAACCAAAACUUAUGCCAAGCAUACCUCCUGAUUUACAACCUUGAACACGAUACAAUUGUUUUGUCAAAAUUAAAUAAUUCUUAUGAAUACAAAUUUAUUUAUUAUUUAACGAUAGUAUAGUUUAGUUGACUUACUAAAUUGUCCUUAACCACCCAAUUGAAAAGUUCUAGCUAGUGGGAGACAUGUUUAUAUAUAGGAGAAUGUUAACAUGUACACUAAAAGCACAUGUUAAGGAAGCAAAAAUAGAAAGUAUUAAAUGUUGAAGCAUUAAAUUUUAACUUUUCAAGCAUUAAAUUUUUGUAUCAUUAAAAGUUAAAUUUUUAUAUUAAGGUACCUUAACAUGUGCCCUAUAUGCACAUGUUAACAAUACUCUUAUAUAUAUUGCAAAGAGGAGUGCUAGCAACACACUCUUUAACAAACACACUCUAUUCUAUUGGUUAAAAUUUAUAUGAGUCUCAUAAAAGUUAUAUGGGUCCACAUUUUUUUAUGGAACUCAUGUGAAUUUCAACCAAUAAAAAAAAGUGUGUUGAAGUAUGUUCGUUAAAGAGUGUGUUGCUAACAUUAUUCAUAUUGCAAAAUCACUUUAAUUAAUUAUGCUUUCUAGUGGGAGACAUCUUUCUUUAGAUGGAAAAUAUCACGUUAAUUAAAUUAUCUUUCUUUAAAGUUCAAAUUGAAUUAUACUAGUAGAUUACCAUGGUCCCCUCAUCUUUAAAUCUUGAGAGUUUAAUAAAAAUAUAAUUUAAAUCAUAAAAUAAGAUAUUGAAGGCACUAGUAUCUAAUUGAGAGGGGAAAUCUCAACUUGUGUACUCCACGGAUUUCUCGAUAAAAUUUAGUAAUCACUAGCUGCGGUGAAAAUGUGCGACGAUAGUUAAAGGAACACGUUUGCCGACAGUUAGAAGCAAAUACUGUUUCAAGUUUCAACAGAACACGUAUUCCCCACUCUAUUGUAUUAUUUAUGUCUGAAUCGAUAAGGUAGACCCACAUUAAAAUCUUCAACCACAAUUUUCAUAGAUAUUUUACAUUAUAAAAAUCACCACUAAGAUUAUAAAUAAUUGAAUCGAACAACCCUGUUCAAUCAUCUCAUAACUUAAAAAAAAAACAUCAACAAAAAAACAAUGGCAGCAAGCGGAGAAGAGAAGAAGAUUUCAACAAGUGAGCUUGCAGCAAGUGCAAAGAUUGUAGCAGAAGCAGCACAAUCAGGUUUCGGGAAAGAUGUUGACAAAGACAAGACAGCAGAGGCUGCAGGUGAUCUUCUAGAUGCAGUUGGUCAGUAUGCUAAAUUGGAUGAUCAGAAGGGAUUAGGACAGUAUGUUGAUAAGGCUGCUGAUUAUCUGCAUAAAUAUGAGGGUGAUACUCCACCAGCUUCCAAACCAGAUAAGCCCAAAGUUGAUGCUGCUGCUGCUAAGUCUGAAGAUGGAGGGUCAGGUGGUGGACUAGGUGGAGAUUUUGCCAAGGUUGCUGGAGGUUUCUUUAAAUGAAAAUUAUUAACUGAUUUGGAUUUAGCUUGUUAAUUGUGUCUUGAUUAUUAUCACUUUAUGUAUUGUUUUUAUCUUAUCUUAUAAUGAAUAUAGGAUAGGAUAGGAUAUGUAUGAUGUAGUAUUGUGUUGUGUGAUGAUGGAUAUGUAUUGCACCGUAGCAGAGUUGUGUUGUCCACUUUUGAACCAAGAGAUCUCAUGCCCCUGUUUGUUCAUGUUUUUAUUCCCAAUUCAGAUGCUAUAUACAUGUUGUGAAUUUUAUGUAGAAAUCAUCACAAGAUAGAAUUAUUGUUAAUGAUUGAACAAAGAUUGAGGUAAGAAUUAAGAUCAAAACAAGAAUUUGGGUAUUUCAGCUUUGAGUAAGAAACUCUUGAGCUUUCAUCCACUUUUAUUUCAGCUUUAUGUAAGAAAUUCUUAAGCUUUUAUUUAGUAGGAAUAUCGCACUAUAUGCAGGAAUCUGGGACACUCUACUUAUUCAUCUUUAAGGUGGAUUUUCUAGCCACUAGACUACUUGACAAAAAAAUAGUAAUUGACAUUAUAAUUAACUCUCUCAACUAGAAAAUAGUUAGUUAUAAACUAACUAACUAACUAACUAAAAUUAAGUUAAUAAUUGAAGUUCAAUAUGCCACAAAUAUCCACACUAGUACAAAAACAUAGAGUUACGAUAGAAAUUACACAACUUCCAUCAAAGGACUCCUUGUAACUCCAAGGCAAAGUGGACAACUCGUACCUACCCAUGGCAAGUAGCCACAAAAACUAAUAGAAAUAGUAAACUAAACUAAGAAGAAGAGAAAAUGAACAAAGAAACUUUAUUUAUAAUUGUAAACUAUUUGCAAGAGUGGAACUUAAUACUACAAGAGAGUUGAUAUCCUAUCCUAUUUAUAGUCUAAAGGACUUAAAUUUUAUACUCCUUAUCCUUAAUGGCUAUUGGAGUUUCAUUACAUAUAAUGAGUAUUAAAAAGAAAAAUAAAAGGUCAAAAACUGAUUUUUCACUUUAAAUAUGGAGGGAAGUUAACUAAAGUGGUUAUACAAUCUAUCAAUAUUUCACAAAUAUUUUACAUAAGAAUAUAACAUGAUUAUAUUAACACAAGUGGUUACAAAAUAAUAAUACUACAUCCGGUCCUAUAUAUAAGAAGAUGUUGACUUUUUAAAUACAUUGUAGAAUUGAUGUAUUUAGACUAUAAUAACGUAUCUAGACAAUAUUAUAGUCUAGAUAUAUCAAUUAUACAAUGUAUUUAAAAAGUCAAUAUUUUAUAUAUAAGACCAGAGAGAGUAUGAAACUUAAUAUUCAUCAAUGAUAUAUUUUUAUCAAGAUUUCAGUUUCAUAAUUAACUACGUAUUCUCCAUUUAGAAUUAUGAAAAUUAUUACAUUUUUACUUAAUAGUUUUAUAAAACAAAAUCCCUUUAUCACAAAUAAAACUCCCAAAAUAAUUUUUAUAAUCAAAGUAACCUUCACAAAAAUAUUUGAUGAUUAUAUAAAAUAAAUGAAAUUAUUUGUUUACUUAUUUUCAUUAUUUUCUUUUCCUUUCAGUUUCUUUCUAAUCCAAACAAAAUACUAGUAUUUAGUUAAACCACUAUGAUUGUUCCAGUGGUAAGUGAUUUAUGUAGUAUACAUGAGAUUCUAAGUUCAAUGUCAUGGACAACAUCGUAAAUAAAAAAAAAAGUUUAGUUGUAUUUUUAAUUUUGAGAUAAUCUAUUACCAAAAUGAGAAAAUUAAAAGAGUGGUAGUGAACACUGUUUGCUGCCGACAUAAGAAGCAAAAAGUGUUUCAAAGGAUACGUAUAAGAUACGUAUUCCCUAGGACUGUAUAUUAUUCGUGUCUGAAACGAUAGGGUAGAGGUAGACCCACAUUAACCUUCAACCACAAUUUCCAUAGAUAUUUUUCCUUUGCCUAAAAUCAAACCUCACCUUCAGAUUAUUAUAUAUAAGUCUAACACUUGCAGAACCUAUUGUUAUUCAUUACUUAAAAAAACACAGCAAAGAAAUUACAAUGGCAGGUAGCGGAGAAAAGUUUAGGGCAAAGGUGGCAACAGAGUCAGCACAGAAAAGUUUAGGGCAACAAGGUGAGAAGGUGACAACUGCUGCAGGGGAAGUUAAGNNNNNCUGCUGAUCAUGUUCAUUCCAAACCAGAGGAGCCCCCCAAAGCAAAAGAAGAAGAAGGUGUGAUUGGUAGUAUCAAAAAGACUGUUGGAGACUUAUUUAAAUAAACAACAUUUAUCACUCAUCAUCAUUUAAUUAGGAUAUCUUAAGGUGAUUAAUUAAUAAUUAAGGACACUAAAUUUGCCACCAUCCCUUUUAAGAUUGUUGUGUAUGUUGUUAACUCAUCCCUUAAAGCAGUACUAAGUUACCACUGUCUGAUAAUGGAUCGAAUAUGUAAGGUAAGGUUCCACUUUUCAGUUUGAACCAACAUCCAGCCCUGUUUGUUUCUGGUUUUAUUCCUAAUUCUAUUGCAUAUAUUUUAUUGGAAAAUGUUUCUUUGACACUAUAUCCAUUCAAAAUUUAAGAGAUAAAAAACCAAUAGAGAUACUAAUAUGGUGUUGAUGUCAUCAAGGUUUUUUAAAUUGCAGUCUGCAUCCGCAAUUGCAGAUGUAGUAUUGCUAAUACAGUAGCCUCGUAAUUUUAAUUCACGUUUACGGCCGUAACGUAACUGAAUCAAACGAUUUCGUUCAUGUUUGUUCGAAUUUUCUCACCGAAAAACAAAAUUUAUGAACCUCAAAUACUAAUCUGCAACAAAUCUAAUAAAAAAUUUACUUUUAACAAUCUCUUAACCGUAUAUUUUAAGUAUAUUCGAAUCAAUGUUAUGGAAUAAACUAAGACUCUAUAAUUGUGGAUAAAUAGUAUAGUGACAUAGUGGUCUUAUUUUAUAUAAUACGUGAAAUUUCAAAAUUAUUACACGCCGGAACAAUCGCAUCGUGUGUUGCAGCAACCACAAUGAAAAACCAUGGAUGUGAUAGGAAGAGAUAUUGAGAAAAUUANNNNNAAAUCAUGUCCUUGGCCAAGGAAUUUGAAGACUGAUUCUUAACAUCCUUGAGGAAAAUCUUUCACUGCCAUAUUGAUCUUGCAAGUAGAAAGAAAGAAGACUGCUAGCAAAAGAAUAAAAGUGGAACAAAGAAGCAAAUUAAAGUUAUUGUUAAGAAGAUGUAAGUGAUUGUUAGGCGUUAGGACCCAAUAGGAGGUGCUCAAGAAAUUAUAGGGUGUCUAAGUAAUAGAUAUUAUAUUAGUAAUAUAUGAUAAAUAUUAUUCAAUAAUUUUUUUGUCAAGUAAUUUAGUAAUUAAAAAUUCAGCUUUAAGGUAGAUAAGUAGGGUGUCUAAGAUAACUCAGCAUAGACAUAUAUAAUGUAAAUUCCUAUUAAUUCAAUAGUAUCUCUUUAAUUAUUGGAAUAUUUUAUUAGUAGGAUAUAAUAAAGAUAUUAUCUUAUUCUAUUUGUUUGGUAGUGUAUUAGAAUAAUAUCUUCUUAGCAAAGAUAUUAUUUAAUUUUAUUUUCUUAGUAGUCAUUAAAAAUAUGGUUUAGGGUCUGAGAGGUAGGAAUGAGAAUAGUUUUUAUUUUAGGGAUAUAGUAAGAUUCCUCUCUGAGUUGUGUUAGAGUUUUGCUUUGGAGUAGUUAUAGAAAGUAUAACUAGUAACUACUAUUACAAUUAUAUUAUGAAUAAAAUACUGUUCUAUAGGCUUGAACUUCAUUUAUGUAAUCAACUUACUUACAAGCAAUUUGUAACACAAAACUUUGUAAUUCAAAGUAUCAAACGGUGUUCGAAUACUUAAGGGACUAAGGUUAUUCAGCUGUCUUGAGAAGUUGAUUAGUGACCGCUGUUAUUGAGUUGUAAUCAAGAUUAUUAAUUAGUGGAUUAAGCCCUUGGUGAUAAGGGAAACUCACUCUCAUGAGUGGAUUGGAGUAGUUUCGGGAAACCAAUAUUAAAAUCCCUCUUUCUUUUGUUGUUCUUGUUUAUUCUGGUCUUUAUAGUCGUAAAAAGUCUUUUAAACUAGAAACUCAAUUCAAACUGCCUCUUUUUUUAUUUGGCGUUCCUUGUACUUUUUUCUUCUUCUUACUAUUAAUAUUAUUACGAGCAACCCACUUGGGAUUGGUCGAGUGGUGUUGGCUUGAGCCAUUGAAGUGUGACAUUAAUUUUUCGCCAUUUAUCAUUUUCAAUCUAAUACUGUAAUUUACAUCUGUAAAUCCUUCAUUCGCAUAAGUCUCAUAUAACACUUCAUUUUUCUUUAAAAAAUUGAAACACCUCCAACAAUAAAUUGAUAAAAUUAACAAAUAUGUUAUAUUCUUUAAACUUAUGAUUAUAUAAGAAACAAAUUAUAAAGGGUACAAUAGGCCUCACCUUAUAAGUUUACUUUUUGAUUUCUUGAUUGAAUUGAAAGAGGAGAAUCUAUUUGUAUAUCCAACAGAUUUACAGUGGUAAAAACUUUAUUGUUAUAUCAUAGUAACUAAAAAAAAAAAAAAUAAUAAAAACAGUUGUUUUUUAAAGGAAUAGUGGUUUGCCGACAUCAAAAAUUAAACAGUGAUUCAAAGGACACGUAUUCCCUAUUGUAUUAUUUAUUUAUUUAUAAUAUGAGGUCGAUAAGUAGAUCCACAUUAAAAUCUUGAACCACAAUUUCCAUAGAUAUUUUAUCUUGCAACUCCCUCGUAUUAUAUAAAUAACAGAACAACCCUAUUGAAGUCUUACAAAAAAAAGAAGCUAUCAUCAUUCAUUGGUUAAAAACAAUUAACAAAGAAACAAUGGCAUCAACUGGACCUAAUGAUUUUUUAGCCAGUGCAAAGGGGGCAGCAGCAUCAGCACAGACAACUUUGGGGCAACAAGGUGAAAAGGUAGGAGCUGCUGCAGCUGGUGUUCAGAAGACUGUUGGAGAGUAUGUUACCAAGGCUACUGAUUAUGUUCAGGGCAAACCAGAGGAGCCUCCUAAAUCCGAAGAAGGUGUCAUUGGUGGUGCUAAAAAGACUGUUGGAGGCUUAUUCAAAUGAAAUAAAUACUCUCACUCAUUUAGCAUCUUGUGAUUAAUUAAUUCAUUAAUAAGGACAUUAAACUUGCCAUAUCCCUUUAAGUAUUCAUUGUUCUGUUGUGUAUCUUAUCAUAUAGUAUAGUAAUUUCCUAUAGGAUAGGAUAUAUGCAAUCUGUUAGCACUGUGUUGUAAUGGAUCGACUAUGUUAUGUAAGUAAGGUAACAGAGUUCUGCUCUCCACUUUACUGAUCCUUCCCCUGUUUGUUUCUGUUUUGCUUAAUUCUGUUUCAUAUAUUAUUAUUCAAUUUUGUUUCCUUUUGUUCUCUUCUGGUUAGUGUGCUCUUUCAACAUGUUUUAAUUAAAUUUACAAAUUACUGGAGAGAAAUAUAACAAGUCCUCAAAUCCUAAGUGGAUGGAUGGAGUUAUGGACAAAAAUUUCAAAAUUAUUAGGUCGGAUAUCAUUAUUCUCCACUUUUUACAUGUGAGUUUUUAUUGAUUUGUCAUUUUGUUUAUCAAUAGUAAGAAAGAAAAAAAUAACAUAUAAUAAAAAAAAUGGAUUAAAUAUAUUUUUAGUGUUUACAAAUAGGGGUGUGCAAAUAAAUUGGUUCCUGUGAACCAAAUUAGUAACCAAAUAAUACCAGUUUUUAAAAGCCCAGUUUAAAGAUGGAAAAAAAAAACCAAUAACCAAAUUUGUAACUAAAAAAAAUGGAAACCAAACUUAAUUAUAUGGAUCAGGGGUAUCCACAAUUUCCACACCUCCCUAAAUCAAUUUUCACCAACUUUAAUAAUUUGAAUAAUAAAUAAAUUUAUUUAAUAAAUAUAUAAAAUAGGUGGUGGUGCUGGCCCGUCAACGGUCUGGUGAACGCCGGAGCUCCGGCGCCGACANNNNNNNNNNNNNNNNNNNNNNNNNNNNNNNNNNNNNNNNNNNNNNNNCGGUGGUGGCCGGCGGAGCUCCGACAGUCGGCCACCCCCUCCCACCCCUAUUUUUAUUUAAUUUAAUAAUAAAUAUAAUAUAUAUAUAUAUAUAUAUAUAUUUAAACUAUUAUUUACGUACCAAAAAAAAACUAGUAUUAUUUAAUUAUUUUAAUAAAAUCUGUUUUUUUUCCUACCCAGAAAAAUAAAUAAAAUCUGUUUUUUUUUUUUGAAAAAUAUGUAUUUUAAUUUUGUUUUAUAAAAAAUCUGAUUUUUUUAUAUAAAUAAAAUCAGUAUUUUAUUUCAAUUUUUUUUUAAAAAAUUACUCAUAUUUUAAAUAAUAAAAAAUGGUUUUAAAAUAAUUUAAAAGAAAAUUAUUUACAAAAAUAAUAGUAAUAAGUAGUAACUUUAUGUAAAGAAAAUAAAUUUUAUUAUCAUAAAAAAAUUCAUUUAUAUGGUUUAAAAUAAUUAUAAUCAUAUUUUAUUUAUUAUAUAUCAUUGUAUCCAUUUUAGAAUAAAUUUAAUUCAUUAAAAUUUACAAAAAUAAAUAUGUGACCCUUUGAAUUUUAUAAAAUAGUCCUUAGUUGAUUAGAUUGGAUUCAUCCAUUAUUAUCUAUUUUAUAAAAAAUUUGGAUAGAUUUUAUAAUUGGUUUUAGAACCAGUUUUAAUAAUAACCGAUUUUUAUUAUAAACUAAUUUCUGAACCAGUUUGAACUGAACCAGUUUUUUUGGUUUUAGAUGAAAGUGGUUUGGUUCAGUUCAUAAACCACAAAUUUUGUUCUAAUCUGGUUCGGUUCAUAACCAUCCCCUACUUACAAAAUCACAUUUGCAUUUUAUAGAGUCUAGUUUGAAGACUAAAAAAAUUCAUUUUCUUUUUUUUUUAAAAAAAAAAUAGCGACUAUUCUUACAAACUACAAUAUUAUGAAGGAUUAAAAUUUAAUAGGGACUUCCUUGAGUAAUAGGUCCAGAAUAAAUUUUAGAUUUAGCAGUGUUAAUAACUUGGCCAGAUUGAAAGACAUAGUUGGUGAAUAAUUCUUUGAGAGAUGUGAUCCUAGCUAACUUGCCUUUGCAGAAAAUCAUUAAGUCAUCAACAUAAAAGGUAUGGGAAGGAACAUUGAUGUUUCUUGUGCCCUUGAUAAGAUCCAACUUACGCUCAGUUACAAGUUUUGCAAUACUUCUACUCAAUGCAUCUUCAGCUAAGCAGAAAAGAAUUAAAAUAGCCCUCAGAUUUUCCAUUAAUAGAGAUAGACAAAAAUGCAAAUUUAAGAAUAACAUGGAUCCAAUUGCAAAAAACUUCAUUGAAACCAAAGCUGCUAAGAACCUUUAGCAAGAAAGACCAUUCUAAAGUGUCAAAAAGGCUUUAGAAAUGUGAAUUUUUAAAGCCAAGUUACCACCAAAGGGCUAAUUGUGUAGUAAAUUGACAGCUUAUGAGGCAAUACAUAAACAAUCCUUAAUAUUUCUGUGAUGAAUAGAUCCCAUUUAUUCCUCAAAAAUGAUGGAGGGCAUAAUCUUAGCUAACCAAUCAACAAUGAUUUUAGAUAACACUUUGAAUUUAAAGUUUGCCAUAGUUAUUGCUCUACAUAGAUCAAUUGAUGUAGCAUUUGAAAUCUUUGGAAGGAAAGCAAUGAUAUUUGAGUUAAAACCUAGCAAGAUCAAACUAGUGCUGAAGAAUUCCAAAACAGCAUUGACAACAUCUUGCCUGACAAUGUCCCAAUAGUGUUGAAAAAAGAAGGCUCCAAAACCUUCUGGCCUGGUGCAGUAUCUUUGUUAAGGGCAAAAACUGCAGCUUUGAUUUUUUGGUGAGAGGGCAACAAUGUAAUCAGAGCAUUGAUGUAAUCAGUGAUGAGCUUUGGGGUAACUUCAUCCGCAAGCAAUGGUUCCUGCAAAACAAUGUUAGUGCAAAAAAAAAAUUUGUAAAAGUUUACCACAUGAUGAGAUAUUUGGCUUUGGUUAAUGAGAACUUGUUCACCAUCUUGUAAGGAUGUAAUCAUUUUGGUUGAGGAUUUGAUUUUGGCUAUUAUGUGAAAAUAUUUGGUGUUCCUAUCUCGUUCUAAAUGCUAGUUCAAGUUAGCCUUUUUCUUUCCAAAAUAGUUCUUGUCUGUUCAGGGCAUUCUCAUAAUCAACAUGUGCAAGCUUCUCCUCUUCUAAUAAAGUCGCAGUUUGACCAUUAAUUUGGAUUUGGUGUUGGAUUAGUUGAUGUUUUUCUCAGCAGAAUUCACAUAAUCAUGUACAUUACCAAAUCAUUGUUUGUCCCAGCUCUUUAAAGACUCUUUCACAAGCUUCAACUUUUUGCUCAAAAUUGAUUGCAUACAACUCUAUCUAGUCUUAUCUCAGUGUGUUACCAUUGUCCCAAGUGAAUUCAGCUCCUGAGGUGGGUAAAUGAAUAAGGUUGAAAGCAUCAGUCCAGUUUUGGAAUCUACCAAAGGUAAUCUAGCAGGAGAGGUGCUACCUCUAUGUUCAUGCUACAUCCUGAUGGUGUUAAAGUCACCUAUAACAUCCCGAAUUUUGAUCCAGAAUAUUAUCUAAACUUUUGCUAUUGUUAUUUUUUUAUAUAAGAGGCUAGAAAUUCUAUUUAUCUUUUUAAUUCUAAUAAAAACUUGCGCAAGUGUAUAAAAGUAAAAUUGAAAGAUAAGGCUCAGUUUUUUGACAAUUUAUUGAGAUGCCAAAGAAAAGUUACAACACUGACUAUAGGAAUCCUGCAAAAUCUGUCGAACAUAUUAUAGAGUCUAUCAUUUGGGACCAACCUUUUGAAACCCAUCUAAACGGAACCCAUACGAUAUCGUCUAGGACGCACCAUAUUAAUCUGCAUCAGAUGGAAACACCAGCUUAGGAGACUUCUUGUCGCGGAGGCUUCUCAUGUAAGUUUUUGAUUCCGAACAUCAUAGUUCCCAUAUUCCUACUACAGAUAAUACCCUCCUUGCAACUCCAUUGGGACCGCUAGAUUCAUCUUAACUUAACGGCUCCCCUAUCUCUUUGCCGGUUGUUGCCAGUUGUCCCUGACGGUUAUAACCGUCUCUCUCCAUAUAAGAAUAAGACUUUAGUGCUAAGGUACACAAUUCAAUCACUUUUCACUUCACUUCUCCUUGAUCAUAUACUGACUUGAGCGUGGAGUGCUAACUUGUUUUGUAGGUACCUUUCCCCAUCGCAAAUCACCGUUCCUAAGGCCUAACGCCAUCGUAACCGCCUCGAGCUUCACCAUCGGAAUUAUCUACUUGUCUUCCAUUCAGAGCAUAGUAAAUCCCCAAGUUUAAUACGCAAAAGCAAAAAUAUAGAAUCAAAGAAAAUCAAAAUUAAGAAAAAUUAACAGAAUUAACUUUGUCAUAUGAUUAUUUUAUAAUUUCCACAUUUUGAGACUGAUGGAGUCUUAGAAAAUAAGAUAACCAACUGCAUUUUGUAUACUUGAACUAUACAUGUUCAUACUCAAACCAAAUAGUAUUAUGUACAUAUGUAUAUACAUUGGUGUUGUUCUAUCUUAGAAGCAGGAACAUGCCCCUGGAAGCUUGCCUGUUGUUCUAAUUGUGUUUGCCUUCUCUUUUGCUUUCAGCGUUUCAUUCUUUCUUCUAUCAUCUGAUUGUGCUCUUGCUCCAGCUGCAAUCUCAUCUAUAUAUUUUAUCUUAUCUUGAUAUUUCCUCCUAGCUUUCUCUCUUUUCCGCUCAUUUUCACUAUGCUGCAUUUUUCACAAAGUUACCACACUUUAUUAGAGGACUAAUAAGAAUAUGUUUCGAUUAGUUUAUUUGAAAUCAGGUUAACUUUAUUUUAUAUUUGUUAUAGGAAUAACUUAUGAAUAAAUAGUUAUUUGAUAAGCACAUAAUUAAGCUGAUUAUGCUAACUAACAUAGGCUAAUAUUUUAUUUUUAUCAAGUAGUCUAGAGGUCAGACUCGCACAUUUGAAAUGUGAAGAUAUAGAAAAUUCCGGGUUCCAACCCAGAUAGCCAACAACUGAGCUAUGGCCUAAAUAUGAAACACUACACAUCUUCGAUCUAAACAUUAAAACAUUCAAUAUGGUUCUAUUGAAUAGAAAAUGAAAGUCUUACCUCAUGCUUAUUAAGCUUGCGUCUUGCUUUCAUCUUCUUCCUCUUUUCCCAUGAAUCUAUUGUCUCUAACAACUUCUCAUACCUGAAAAAAUAAUUAUAUUUUCAUUGCAUUCAAUGCAUGAAACCAGAGAUUCACAACAUUCAUAUAUACUGUUAAUGAAAUAUAUAAUUAGUUGCCAUGCAUAUGUACCAACCUUUCUUUGAUCUUUAUGAGCUCUUCCCUUUCCCAAGAAUCUGCUUUUGUUUCUGUUGUACUUGGUCUAGUUGGUGGUCUGCUGUGGAUGAUUGAUAGUUGUGGUGCCGGUGGAGGUGGUGGAGGCGGCGGCGGCCUUAAUGACACGUUUGGAUCAUCAACUAGUGGAAGCAUUUUUGGUUUUGGAGUCUCAGGUUGUGUAUCAUCAUCAGCGUCGAAAAAAUGUUCAUCGGCAAAAGUUGGAGUCUUUUUAUGUUUUGGAAUAUCAGGUUUUUUAUCAUCAGUUCUCUUUGAUUUUUCACUAAAAGUUGGAGUCUUUUUCAUUGAUGGUGCUGGUGUGAAUGAGAUGGUGUUUUUAGGAAUCUUUUCUUCUCUAAUAGGUGAUGUUGUUGGAAAAUUGUUACCUUGUUCAUCUGUGAUUUUAAAUGAGCCUACACAUGAUGCAGAUUCAGUUCAUCAUAAUUUAAUUUUGUUAUUUUUCUCAUCAUGGUAUGAAUAAAUGAUAAAUAAUGACCACGAGCGGAGAUGAUUCAGGUCUCUUUGGGUUCAAAUUCAUCAGAGAGAGCUUUGUCACACAUUGUGGUUUAUCAGGUUCGAUGGAUUAGUCUUUACAGUUACGCAUAAUGGAUAUCUUUUUUUAAAUAAAGAAGAAAGAAAAAGAGAAAUAAUGUAUUUGCCUGGUAAUCUCUUGGAUGCAGCACCUAGCUGGGAAAAUGAAGAAUUUUUAUCAUAGACUUUUUUGCUUCUGCUCUUGGUCAAUGAGGUCUCAGGAAACUCACUCAUUUUCUUCUCAUGUGAAGUUUCUGAGACAUGUGAACUUAUUGCAAAUGCUGCAGCAGCUACAACUGUGGCAUGUUCCAUUUCUAUGUAAUCAUAAUCAUGACUCAUUUUCCUUGAAAUUUGUCUCUGAAACCAAUUAUGUGCCUUUUUCUUCUCUGUAAAAAUUUGGUCACAUGAAGGUGUUUGUCAGCUAAAUUAUUGCUUUAUUCAGUUUUCAGACAAAAACAAAACUAGAAAGACUAUUAAUGAUCUCAUCUUUGAGAAUCCAUUCAUUUUUAUAUUUAGUAUUUCAAUCUUAUUUUUCAAAUGUGUUUGGUCAAACAGAACAUUUUUUUAUCUUGUUUUGUCAAGUUUUGGGGGAAGUAACAUGUAAAAAAGUCAUUCAGUUUUUUCUUGCUUUUGACCCUAGACUUUGUUAAAGACAAUAACAUAUCAUAAAUACUCACCUUUGAAGGAUGAAGUUUUCUGUAUUGGUAUUUUCUGAUGAUCUCUGCUACCACCAAAAUCAGCUUUAUUCUCUUCUUCUGCACCAAUUAAUUUCUCUCUAACAAAAAUUUGUUUAGCAAUAAAAAAACAUAUUUGCAUAAAUAAAAAAAAAUAUUAUGAAGCUAUAAUUAUUAUUAUUUUUUUUUUGUUUUAUUUUCACCACCGGUAUCCGGCCUACUAGACCGCCUAAUCCGGUUCGGGGGUCAGUUAAGACAAUAAGUGGUUUUAGCCCCCUCCCGAUCGUAUUUGCAGGGGAUUGAACCAUGAUUCUCCCUACGAUGUCCAGCGUCAACUGGACCGACUAACGACGAGUAUUUAUGAAGCUAUUAUUGUUGUAUGGAUAUGAAUACCAAAUUAAAUGAGUGGUAAUUAUUUAUAAUAAAUGAUACAUAUACAUGACCAUCUUAAAUCUCUCCAGGGGUGAAAAGUAAAAAUGACUAACCUUAUUUGCUUAAUCCAAUUAUCCAUUCUAUACAGGAAGAAUUUUGUGCUUUAAUUAUUUAUGAGCAAUGUCUUGAUAUCCCUUGAUAAGUGGUAUGUGUUUAUAUUUGAAAGAGAAGAAACCAAGGAAAUAAGAUCCUUUUUGUAGAGUAUAGUCAUAGGCUGUUAUUGGGGACAAGCAAGGUUACAUAUACUUUGCAUGUGUUGUCUGGUUUGGAACUCAAGUGCCUUGUGGGGGAAGAUAAGUAUUCUUUUCUUCUUCAGAGAUAAUUACCAUCAGGCAUCAAGCAUAUUUUGAAUAUAUUUUCUAAUCCAGUUUUUUCUGAUGAGAAUUUUAAAACAUCAAAUUAAAUCUGCUAGGUAAAAAGGAUGUCAGAUUUUCUCUUAAAUUAGUGCAUCACUUUUAAAACAUUGAUUUACAUUAGCACGUGGAAAUUUCAUAUGGACUAAAUAGGCUGGACACUUUAUAAUUAUAAGCGAGAGGAAUGAUAAAUUUAAUAUACUGUAAUGUGUUUGGAUGUUUGGAUGGAGGAAUGUUUUGAGGUAAAAUAAUGUUUUGAGGGAAUUUAAAUUCUUUUGUCUAAAUACCAUUGUUUGGGUGAUUAAUUUGGAAAUUUGUUUAAAAUAAUGAGAUUCUAUUUUAUGAAUUAUUGUCCAAGGUAAAUUUAAGGAAUUUCAAAUGGCACCGAAAAGUUAGGAAUUUGAAAUUUCAAACUGACCCCUAUAAUAUUUUUAAAAUUACAAAUUGACACCUAAUUUUUUCAAAAACUGCAAAUUGAUCCCUAAAAAUUUGCAAAUUGGUCCUUUAAGAUUUUGAAAACUGGUCCUUAUUUUUCAAAUUUAUAACAGUGACCCAAGAUAUUCAAAAUGAAAAUUUCUAUUAUUCUAUCCAAACACACAUUUGAAAAUGAAAGUAAUUCAACUACAAAAAUUUAAAUAGCUUAGAAUUUCAAAUCCUCUAAAAUUUUUAAUUACUUCAUCCAAACACACUCUAAGAUUUUGGUUGAAUGUAUGAUGUCCAAGGUAACCGGCGGGGAGGGGGGGNNNNNNNNNNNNNNNNNNNNNNNNNNNNNNNNNNNNNNNNNNNNNNNNNNNNNNNNNNNNNNNNNNNNNNNNNNNNNNNNNNNNNNNNNNNNNNNNNNNNNNNNNNNNNNNNNNNNNNNNNNNNNNNNNNNNNNNNNNNAUAAAGUGUUUAACCUCAACUCCUCCAACCAAUGUGAGACUUAACUCACACUUGAUAGAUCUCAACAUCUCCCCUCAAGUGUGAGUCUCUCCGCAUCUGCGGUCCUUCACCACUUACUUGUUGCUCCCCGAAACCGGGCUCUAAUACCACUAUUGAGUCACAAGGGGGCAGUUGGGGGAUUAUUCACAUUGGGCUAAAAGCAAUUAUACAAGUGAGUUGAACACCACACUUUUACUCAAAACCUUAAGACAUUAGGUUUAUGGGUCUUCUCACCUAUAAAGUGUUCAACCUAAACUUUUCUAAGCAAUGUGGAAUUUAACUCACCUCACACUCACCACAACACUUUAUCACCACGAGAGAGCGAGAAACCUUCGUGACUUUUUUUAAUAUAAAAUUAUGUGCAAAAAGAAGGAUUGCAAACAUUUUAGGCUCUGUUCUCGAUUAUUAAGGUUUAAUCAAAGUUGAAUCAUUCUAGCAGUAUAUGAGUUUCAUUUUUGGUUGGGUGGAUGAAUGUUUUGGGAUAAAGUAGUUUAUCAUUCUUAUAGAGAAAUUAAUUAUUGUGCAGAUGCGUUAACUACUAUGACUUGAGAUGUAGGUUCUACUUUGAUUUUAUACGAGCAGUGCCCUGCUAAAAUUAGUUGUUUUUAUUUAGCAAACCUUGUUGGUCUUUCGAUUCCGUGACUUGUUAUGCGGUAGUUACUUUUUCUUUUGGGUUUCAACUUCUUCUAUUUACAUUUCCUUGUUUAUAUGAUUAAUUUAAAGAACUUUCAAAUUAAUAGGAAUUUAUUAUUUUUUCCAAAUUAAAUUUAAGCAAUUUUAAAUGACACUUAAAAGUUAGGAAUCUUUCUCUCAUAUGUUUCAAAAUUUUCAAAUUGACACCUAUAAACUUUUUAAAUUGUAAAUUGACCUUAAAAUUUUCAAAAUUGCAAAUUACCCCCUAAUGUUGUUCAAAUCGGUCUUUUAAAUUUUUGAAAAUUAGUCCCUAUUUUUCAAAUUUAAAAUUUGACAAAAAAAUUCAAAUUUUUAAAAAUGGCCCAAAAAAAUCACAAUGAAAUGUUUACUUUAUCGAAAAACACACGCACACACAUUUAAAGGUAAUUUAAUUAAAUUGUUCCGAAUUCUAAAUCCUUUAAAAAAAAUUAUUAAAAAAUAUAUGUAUCAUGAUAACUAGUGUGUCCUCCGGACACUAAUUAAUGAACUAAAAAUAUUUAUAUUUAAGAACAUUACUUUUUACAUUUUUAAGUGUUUGACUUCACAGAUCUUAAAAUAUUUUUAUUAUUUUUGCAUCUUUAACUAGCGUUCCAAGUCCGGGAGCAUUAGUUAGCAUUUUCAAUUUCUUAUUCGAGCAUCCAAACAAGCUCUAAAGAAAAGUAAAAAGUAUUUCGUGAAAAAAAAAAGUAAAAAAAGUAUUUCAUAAAAGUUUGUUAUGUGAUGUUCUACCAUGUGUUGUGCUGUUUUGUCGAGUACUUACUUUUAACCGAUCAAAUGGCCCAAAUAGUUAACCAUCGUGGACAUGAACUUAGCAAAUUGGUAAAAAUUAAGAGGCUAAUAUUUAAAUAGUUAAGAGGCACAAACACAAGUAUACAAAGAUCAUGUUGGUAAAUAGUAAAUAUUGUACUUGACAAAAAUUUGCUUCACAUUGAUAACACCCUUCAAAAAUGUUUACUCAAUAUUCUUGUGACUGAGUAACAACCAUAAAUAGAUAUGUCCUAUGACUUUCAGUGGUUCCACAUUAAUUAAACUCAUGGGAUCCUCCUCCUCAUCCUCAACAACCAUGUUCCUCUUUCACCAUUUCCAUGCUUGUUUUCAGAUUCUGCUAUUCUUUUCUACAAAAUUCUGUAUUCUCACAGUCUGUAGUCCUAAUUUCAAGACAGAGGAAUACCAAAUACAAGCAUGGAAAUGGAAAUUCUAAUUGCCCAUAUUAUUAUACUAAAGGGCAAAAGAAACAUUAUAAUAUUACAUUACAUGAACUCUGAGUUAUUAUACUAAUACUAAUACAAGUUUGGUCAUUACAAAAAAUAAAAAUAUUAAAGAAAGGUAAAAAGAUUGAACAAUAAUAAGCAGCAAAUUAAUCCCUGCAAAAAGAUUGUGUCUUUCUCCAUGCCAAAUUGAAGUGGGUUUGGGGAUUGAUGAUCAGUUGUGAAGUGGGUUUGGACCAGAGGGAACUAGUCUCUUGUCAACACCAUACCUUGGAUCAACUUCAACCCGAUUAUUUUCUUGAGGUGGAAUCGGAACUGAAUGGAUGUUGUUGUGAUAUAUUCUUUGAAGUUUAAAACAUAAAGAACGCACGGUUGUGUUGGAAAAAGAAUUACUACAAUGGUGGAGGUUUGUUGGAGAUGGAAGAAAUCUUGAGUUUGUUGAUGUGGAGAGGAAAAGGAGAAGCAAUAGUACUGUAGUGAUGAGUGAAGAAGGAGAAGUCUUCAUUGGAAUGGAAAAUGGGAAGGUAGAGAGAGAUGUGGGUUGUGAAUAAUAUNNNNNNNNNNNNNNNNAUGAAGGGGACCUCACCUUUACUCUUCACUCAACUCAAUUUUUUUAUAUUUUUUUUACAAACAUAAACUCACUUAAAAAGGGAGGGAGUUUCCGUCUCAAAAUAAUUGUCACAUUUUACCACUGCACAUUUGUCAAUGCACAAUUUUGAUCAUGAAUAUCUUUUGUUGUGUAUUAUUAAAAUAGUGUUAUACCCCCUGCAAAUUUUUUUUUUUUAGAUUCCCCCUGCAAUGUCAAGAUUCCUUGCGUUACCCCCUGGCUCAACAAGUGGGCAUAUGACAUGGACGAAUCUUGAUGUGGCAUGACACGUGAAAAUUAAUUUAUUUUUUAUUUAUUUUUAAUUGCCAACUCAGUAAUUAUUUAUUUUUUAAUUAAAGAAAUUUUUUUUUACGAACCUAGGUAAAAGAAAGUUGUCAUUUUUUUUUGCAGGGGGUAAUGCAAAACUCGCGUAUUUUGCAUGAGGUAACGCAAAACUCGCAAAAAAAAAUUACAACUUUCUUUUACCGUAAAAAAAAGUUUCUUUAAAAAAAAAGUUUUUUUUUUCAAUUUUUUUAAUUAAAAAUUAANNNNNUAAAAAUAAAUAAAAAAAUAAAUAAAUUUCCACGUGUCAUGUCACGUCAAGGUUCGUCCAUGUCAUAUGCCCACUUGUUGAGCCAGGGGGUAACGCAAGGAAUCUUGAUAUUGCAGGGGGUAAUCUCAAAAAAAUAAUUUGCAGGGGUAACGCAAAACUCGUUUAUUUUGCAAGGGGUAAAACACUAUUUUACCCUUUAUUUAUUUAUAUUAUAUGUGAUGUGUGUGUGUGUUGAGCCCACAUGAUCGAACAGAAGAAAGAAAGAAUAAUACCGGUCUGUGGUCCUCUUAUACCCUUCAACCCGGAAAAGAUUUGAAUGAAUAAGCAACACCAACCAUAUAUAGUAGUAAUUGGCAUGAAGGUGAAAAGAAUACAAACUCAUCCACUAUUAGAACUACGUGUUUUUGGUUUGAUCAGAACUACGUGUUAGACACGUACACAUGGUGUUAAUUUGUAUAUGUUUUUGGUACCUUAAAAACAUACAUUUUGACAUGUUUUUCACCCACAUAAAAAUAUACAUUUUGGUCUUAGGUGUCGCACACAUCAUGGGAAAUGCAUUGACCAAAAAAAAAGAAUUUGAUGUUAGAGGGGAUCCUUACUAUGUGCUGUAGCAAAGUUAGUUUGAACCAAAAACCAAAAAUAGCUUAUUUGUAGCUUCAAAAGAAAACCACUUACAUUCAAUCUUUUAAUUACCUCUUUCACCACUAUUAUAGGGAACAAUUAUGGAGUGAUUAGAGUUAAUAUAUCCAUACAAACAUUGAAAGUUGAAUCUUGUGCUCAUAAUCACACGCAUUGUGAAGAGGAACAUAACAAUGAUCAUCAAUUUGAAAUACUAAAAUAUAGUUUAGCAAAUAAAAAUCAACCAUAUGUUCCAUUAUUAACAUAACAUGAAAGUAAAAACAGCUACCUCCUAAUUAGAAAUUAAAGAUAUACUAAAUCCUUCAAGAACAAAAAAGAAAUCAUUUACCCACAUGGCAUUCUGUACAUUGUAAUUUGCUUUCAUCAUAUGGGAUAAUGACAACAAUUAAAAAGUAAUAAUUCUUAAACUUAAAGAUAAUAUUCAUUAAGGUACCUCAAUUGAAGAAGAACUUUCAAAAAAUGAAGUAAAAGUAAAAACCAAGAUAUAACCCAUUUGGCCAUUUCCUUAUUCAUCAACAGGAGCAGGUUGAUUAAGAUCAAUCAAACAAGGAGCAACACUUUGUUUGAUCACAAAAGUGUUGUCUUCAGAUCCUCCAACAAAAUGUGAUCUUUUAUGUCCUCCCAAUGCUUGUCCAGACUUGAAAAUUUUGUAGCAAAUUGGACAUUCAUAUUCUUUGCUUUUCUUUGACUUCAACUUCUUCUUCUUUUUACCCUUGUUGCUUGAUUUCUUUUUAUUCACCAAUUUACUGUUAUGAGAUUUUGCAGCAGAAAAAGAAUCACUUUCUGAACUUUUUUGUUCAUCACUCUCAUCAUCUGUUAUUGAAUCAUAAGAACAAUGUUUGUCCUUUUCACUCCUAAAGAACUCAUAUUUCAAACUUUUUCUAUCACUCUCAUAGAUUUCUUCAUAUUUUGCUUUCUUUCUCGAAUCAAACUUCCUAUCAUGAUCCAAUUCUUCAUAUUUUGCUUUCUUUUUGCAAUUCUCAAAUCUAGACUUAUCUUCUUCUUCUUCCAUCUUUGGCCUCUUGAAUUCGUAUUUUGAAACAUUUGAAUCUACAAUUUUGAUCUUCUUUGAACCAUAUUUGAAAGCUGUCGAAUCCGAAUUAAUUGAAAUACCAAUCCCACCAACAGACUUCAGCUUCUUCUUCUCCUCAACAAAUCCAUGAGCAUUACUAGAAACAAGUUUGUUACCAUUUCUGAUAACAAUCUCGGAUUUGGUCUCUAGAAGAACCGAGUUGUUAUUGGAAGAUUCAGAAACAAAACGACCCUUAUGACUAAAAAAAUCUCUAGACAAUAACAUCAAACACCUAGCAACCUCUUGUUGUUCCUGUUCCAUCUCUGAAACAGAUGAAGAACCAUUAACAGACGAAGAAGAAGGUUGGUUUGAAAGAGUAAGAGACUUGAACCUAAUUCUUCUCUUAUUUUUCCUUAGAUUCAUUGUUGAAGCAGCAACAACACAAGUAUCAUCAUCAUCAUCAUCAGAUUGAGUAUCCUCCUUGAUCUUUUUCUCUUUCUCAGAAUGAGAAGCCAUGUGACCACAAAGAGCUUUCAAUGAUGGAAAACCUUUCCCACAUUCUUUGCAAAAUUUGAUCAUUUCAUGUUCCAAUGCAGUGGUUGCAGCGGCGGCAGAGGCAACAUGAUUAUGAGAAUGCACAAACUUGAUUGUUUUCUUGGGAUUCUCUCUAAGACCAUAAAUGGGGUUUCCAUUUCCACCAUCACUAAGANNNNNNNNNNNNNNNNNNNNNNNNNNNNNNNNNNAACAGGUUCAAAAUCUCUCUUGAUAUCAGCAACAGCAGCAGCAGCAAUAGCAGCAGCAGCAGCAUGAGUUCUUUCUUCAGUCAUGUGGGUUCUGAUGUGACCACCAAGAGAUUUUCCACAUGGAAAUCUCUUUAAGCAAUACUUGCAAACAAACUUCCUCUUCCUCUCCUCCAUGGAUAAUUGAUAAUUCUGAAAUUUGAAUUUGAUCUAGUGUUAUAUAUUUAUAUAAGAAUCAACAACAAACUAUAGAUCACAUACCUGACUGAAAUCUGUAUGAUGAUCAAGUGUAAUAUAUAAUAGGGAAAUUAGAAUGAAGUGGUGGUGGUGGUGGUGGUGAUGAUCAGAAUUGUUGUUGUUGAUGAGAAGAUGUGACAGUUGUAUAAGUACAAGAUCCGACCCAAAAAAAGGGGAGAGACCCCUUCAUUUUCGUUUCCCAAUAGAAUGAUCAAAUAUCAUUAUAAUUUAAUUAAUUUUAUUAAAUGUGCUUUGUGAAAUAAUUAAAAUUAAUAAUGGGUUUGCUUGCCACAACACAAUGGGUCAAGUACUGUAACAUUAAAGAGCUACUACAAAUACAAUACAAGCUUAUGACUCUUUCUUUGUUGGAGGAGAGAAUUCCAUGCAUGAAAUCAACAACUAGUAGAUUAAUUAUAGGAAUUAAUUUUUUUCAAAAAAAAAAAAAAUUAUAGGAAUUAAUUAAUUUUAAUUAAUUAAAAAAAAUGUGAAGUGAGAACCAUUAGAAGAUCAUUUGAACGGCCAAGAUUUGUGUUAGUUUUUAAGAUAUAUAUAUAUAUUAAGCUUUUUUGGAGAGUACUACCAUAUAUGGCACACACAAAAUGAAGCAUCCUAAACAAAAACCAUGAAUAUGACUGUUAUUUUGAGUCGUUAUUUUAGUAUGUUUAUUUGAUGAUUUGAUGGUAUAAAAUGACGAUAUCUUGUUUCCUUAUUCUUAUCGUGUUAUUACACCGCUUUAUUGUGUAAACUAUUUUUACCCUUUUUGUGUUGCGUCUAGACUCUUGUGAGUUUAGAUUUUUAGGUAGAAGAUUAGUUCGCGCGGAUUGGGUAUUGAAGAUGGCAUUAGGCAACUGCCUUCGUUUUAUUUUCAGUCAUCAUUAUAGAGUCGCUCUGAUAGCGUAACACGUUCUUUUCUUUAAAGUUGUUAAGCUAUUUGAAGUUCUUGGAUAAUUUCCGCUGCAUGUUUUUAAAUAAUUUGAUGAUUGGUUUGAGAUGUAGACGUGUGACAUUGACACCGUAAAAUUGACGCCGAAAACGGAGGCGGCACCGAACUUUGUUGAACCGAACCUAACAUUAUGAAAGAAAUGAGAAUAGAAUGUUGCAUAACCCUAUAAGAUUUAGAAGUUUGGUGGUGCGGAGGACCGUUGAAAACACAGUUGCCACUCAUCACCCCAUUUGAAACAAAAAUUACAUGAUGAUGAAGAAAGUGUUUGGAUGUGAAAGGAAGGAAGAAGACACCUACGACGGUCAAUAUACAAAAAUAUACAUUUUGUAGCAAUAACUCGUCUAGUUCAGUUGGUAGAGCGCAAGAUUAUUAACCUUGGGGGUUGAAUAUAUAUGAAGUAAUAUUUUAUUUUUUUGCCAACAAAAUCCUUUAUAGUAAUGUUUAAUUUAUUACAUAAAAUUGAAUGUCAACAAAUUGGGAUUUUAGGUAGCUUAAGAAACAAAAUUUAGAACUAAUAUUCCAAAGAUCUGACAAAACAGAACUAAUGAAAAGAAUUAAUUAUAAGAAUAAGAAAGAAUAGGGGAGGCAUUGUCUCAGCUCAAUAUGAUGUUAUUCCAUUUAUGCCACUGCAGGCAUAUCCUUGAGCCAUGGAUCUAGUGGCUUACCAAUUGAAUAAACUAUAAAUCCAAUUUUCCUGAGCACGCCAACAUCCACAACAUUCCUACCAUCAAAUACAAAUGCUGGCUUCUGCAUACUGUCAUAAACUUUUUGGUAAUCAAGUUUCUUAAAUUCAUCCCACUCAGUCAUAAUGCAAACACCAUGUGCAUCUUUCACCGCCUCAUAAGCAUCCCAAACCACAGACACUUGCUUUAUGGAAGUAGGGCUCGGCGGUUGAAGAUGAGCAGGGUGGUCCUUAUCAAACUUCCUCAUCGACAGAUCCUUUGUGAUCUGAUCUUCGGUAACUUGUGGAUCAUAUAUGCUCAACCUUGCCUUAUCUCCCAAUAAACCCUUGCACACAUCGAUAGCCGGUGUUUCCCUUGUAUCGCCUGUGUCCUUCUUGAAAGCAAAACCAAGAAUAGCAAUCUUCUUAGUUGAAACUGUGUUGAACAUUGACGAAACAACUCGGUUCACAAACCGACUUUUCUGAUAGUCGUUCACCUUAAUCACCUGCUUCCAAUAAUUUGCUACCUCAGGAAGUCCAUUACACUCACAAAUAUAGACCAAGUUUAAUAUAUCCUUCUGAAAGCAAGAGCCACCAAAACCAACACUAGCAUUCAAGAACUUAGGACCAAUCCUCGAGUCUGUUCCGAUUGAGUGUGAUACCUCUGAGACAUCAGCACCUGUUGCUUCACAUAGUGCUGACAUUGCAUUCACAGAAGAGAUUCUCUGUGCCAAAAAGGCAUUAGCAGCAAGCUUAGAGAGUUCAGCAGACCACAAAUUGGUGCAAAUGAUUUUCUCCAUAGGGACCCAAUUAGCAUAAACAUCUCUCAAUGUUUUUAUGGCCUUUUGUCCUGCUGGUGUCUCCCUACCUCCGAUAAGGACUCGAUCUGGGUUGAAAAGGUCUUUAAUUGCCGUACCUAUUAGAGAUAAAGUUUGUUAAGAAGAUAACAAGGAUAACAAACCUAACUAACUCUUAACUAACUAUUUCAGUAUUAGUACCCUCAGCAAGAAAUUCAGGGUUUGACAAAAUAGUGAAAUUGGUGCCUUUCCUAUUAUGAGUCAAAAUCCUCUCAAUUGCUUCAGCAGUUUUAACAGGUACAGUUGAUUUUUCAACCACAAUUUUGUCCGAUUUAGAAACAUCGGCGAUCAUCCGAGCUGCACUCUCCCAGUAAGUUAAAUCAGCUGCUUUGCCAGCUCCAAGACCAUGUGUUUUUGUCGGUGUGUUGACAGAAACAAAGACUAUAUCAGCCUCUGCUACAUGUUUCUCCACUUCAAUGCUGAAGAAAAGGUUUUUUCCCCUGCAUUUCUUCACCACUUCGUCAAGACCUGGCUCGUAGAUUGGUAGGUGGUCGCUGUUCCAACCGUUGAUUCGCUGCGAUGAAAUAUCGACCACGGUUACUUGAAUAUCAGGACACUUUAAGGCAAUCACAGCCAUUGUGGGACCACCAACAUAUCCAGCUCCAAUGCAACAAAUCUUCACCAUUUUUCCUUUUUCUUAACUUCCUUCACUGUGUGACAUGAAGAUCAAAAUAAAUAAAAAAACUCAUACAUAACAACAAGGUAUAUUACUACUUUCAAAUGCUUAUUAUUGGUUAAUUAAGGCCAUAAUUGAAUAACUUAUAGACAUGAAAACACGAAAAAUUCUAAUAUAGACUACUUUAAAAAGUGGUCCGUCGUGGAUUAGUACUUAAGAAAUAUUUAAAAUUCCAACGAUGAUGUACAUCAUUGUUUGAACAUAUAAGUUAAUACUUAAUGGUCAUCCCCAUUUUUACAAUUGAGAUAACAACUUCAUUAAUAUCAGUUCGAUUAAAACAACUGAAAAAAAAUAUGUAACUUGUAUUGAGCUGACGUUAAUCACAUCAUUAUUUUAGUCGUAAAAACGAAGAGUCAUGAAUGUUUACUUUUAAAUAAUAUUGUCAAUCGUCGUCGCUAGAAUAUCUAAUAAUCUUAAGCACCGAUCCACCGUAGCGUUCACCCAUGAAAACAAUAUACAUAAUAAUUUAUCAAGUAACAAUACUUAUGCAGAAUAAAAUGAUUUUUUAAUAGCAGGAUCUGUGUGUAGUUUUCAAUUGGGAAAGCCAUAAAAGAAUAUUAAAUCCAAAGAACAUUCCAANNNNNNNNNNNNNNNNNNNNNNNNNNNNNNNNNNNNNNNNNNNNNNNNNNNNNNNNNNNAUAUAUAUAUAUAUAUAUAUAUAUAUAUAUAUAUAUAUAUAUGAAUUGAGGCAUCGACAGAUAUAAUACUAAUAAAAUAAGGUACAGAAAUGUUACCUAAACACAAUUUUUGAACAUAAGUUGGACAAAUAUACUGAUUUUCAUUUUUUAAUAAUAUAUUAUGCUUACUGAUUUGCGUGCAUAACCUUUUUUAUAUUAUGAUGUCGUAUUUUUAUCAGCAAGAAUGUGUUUAGAUAACAUGCCUCAAUAAGGUAGCAGAUCUAGGACAAAUCAUUUCAUUCACAGAAAUAAUAAAUUAAUACCAACCUAAGUGAAGAUCUUGUGAAGGUAACAAAGAAAAGUGAAGGUAACAAAGAAAAGAGAAAGAUAAAUUACGUUGUGUAAGUAACGGUGGUGAAGAUGAAUGAAGAAGAAGAAGAAUAGAAAGGUCGUUGUACUUUUGUUUCGGUUUCUGGAAUGCAAAGAAAUAGGAAUGAGUCACGAAGUAACAUGCGGAUCUAUUUACUAUAAUAAAAGCCAUAUUUAUACUAANNNNNNNNNNNNNNNNNNNNNNNNNNNNNNNNNNNNNNNNNNNNNNNNNNNNNNNNNUAUUAAAAAUAGUCCUAACAUCUAGCACUAAAAAAAAAGUACUAACACCACAAAAACAUGUAGUAAUUAUAAAGGUUUCUUUGUUGUCUCCAUAAGUUUAGAUCAAUUGGUACAUAAGAAUAUCGUAUUUUAUAUGCAGAGAUUUGAUGAUCGAAUUUUAUAUACUCCAUUUCUUCAUGUCAAAAGAAAGAAAUUUUGCCACCAGACUGCAAUUAUUCAUGUUAAAAUUAUAGGAGAUUCAGUUUUGAUAAAACAUUUAAAAGAAAUUAUAAUUACAAUUAUAAAAAUGCAGUAAAAUAAGAUAUUUUAUGCAAAAUAUAAUAUCUAAUAUAGUAAAUAUAAACACAGCAGCAAAAUAAUAAUAAUAAUAAUAAUAAUAAUAAUAAGGCUUAAUUAGUUUAUUGGUCCCUUAAAGAUAUUUUAGGUUUCACAAUGGUCCCUUAAAGAAAAAAAGAUCCAGAUUGGCCCCUUAAAGAAAAAAAGACCCGGAUUGGUCCCUUAAAGACAUAUAUGUUUGUCAUAUUGGUCCUUUCCGUUAAGUUUUAACUCCAAAUAUAACAAAAAAUUCCAAUGGUUAAAAUUUUAAAAAUUAAUAAGGUUUUUGGUGGACCACUUACGCUUAAUGACAUAUUGACAUCCACAAUUCAGUCAACUAAAACUAACGUUUUUUGUAAAAAAAUUGACGGAAAUGACAUAUUGACAUCCACAAUACAGACCUUUUUUUCUUUAAGGGACCAUUGUGAAACCUAAAAUAUCUUUAAGGGACCAAAAGACUAAUUAAGCCUAAUAAUAAUAAUAAUAAUAAUAAUAAUACCAAUACAAAUUAUGUUUAAAACAUAAAUAUAAAAUAAGGGUAUUCUAACUAGUGUUUUUAAGGAAACAAAAAUGAUAAGUUUUGCGGGGGGGAUGUGUUACUAAACCUACAAAUAAAAACCUUGCCUUAAAAAUUGUACAUUUAAUUUCUUAGAAGUAUAAAAAUUGCUUGUUUCAACAUAAAAAAUUUACUGUAAAUUUCUUAACAUACUCUCUUAAGUUCGGUCAUGAUGUGUUGAAAUAGUCUUGGACAACAAUGAUGUUUUACUAGAAAAUAGCUACCAGUUAGCUACAAUGGAUGUCGUAGCUAAUCCAAAAUUUUCUUGUAAUGUAUAGGGGGCAAAAUCCAAAGAAUUAUAAAAUAGGAGUAAAAUUCCGGAUUUUAAAAUAGGGGGUAAAAUUCCGAUUUAUUCAAAACAUGGGGGGUAAAACUGCAUUUAAGCCAAUAAUUUAUAAGUAUUUGAUUUUGUUAUGUAAUUUUUUAAGAAUAAACUUUUACUAAAAUUACUGUUCUCUAAGUCAAAUAAUAAAUUACAAUACAUUUUAUUUAAUAAAUAAAUGCAUUUUAUUGUGAUAGUGCAUAUAAGACUGUCCCAAAAUAAGCAAUGGGAACAGUUUUUUUGUGGCUACGGCUCAUAACCAUUGUUGUUGUGAAAUUCGAGAACCCUUUAUAAAGGAUACUUAGGAUACAGUCUUACGAAUAUCGUCGCUGUUUUGACAAAAAACGUUGCAAAAGGAAAAGACAAUGUCUCGGUUUGAUAGGCCCAAAAACCGUCCUCUUACCCUAUAGCAGCGGUUUUUUGGAUUAACCAACGGUUUUUCUCGUUGCCAUAGGACAAAAAUGUUGCAGUGAAAAUGCUUGGUAGCCAUAACAAAUAUAAUAUUGUUGUUGAAACUAAUACUACUAACAUUGUUUUUUAUAAAAGAAAAAAGGCAUUAAUGUUCUUGAAACUCAAGAGUUUAUAGCCAAACUCUCAAAACAACCAUAACUAAUAUAUGUGUAACAAUUAGUAGGAGGCAGAGGUGGAUCCGAACGUGGAGGUAGCUGACUUUGAACAAAUUUUUUCCAUAAAUUGAAAUAAUUGCUCCCUAAGCAAACGAGAAUCCUCCUGCAAUUAACGAAUCAACUCCUCGUGAGUCUUAUUUUUUCUUUUAAGAGUUGUGUUUUUAGUUGCAAAAUUAAAAAUUAUAGUCUUCAUGUGUUGAUCUAGACGGCUUGUACUUCUGUGCUUCUAGAGGUGAGAAACAUGGCCUUGAUCCUUUGCAUGACUUCAUACACAUCAAGUAAAAGGGAGGAUAACCGAAAGAAGAGUAAUGAUGCAACAAGUUAGAAAUUUAAAGAACCAAUUUAUUAGUUAAAAAGCUUAAAGAUUUGUAAUUUAAAUAACAUAACUGUUACAAACGUGAAACUUUUUUUUUUUGAACCAUUACAAACAUGAAACUUAAAGAUCCCUAAAUACACUUUUUAUAAGGAUAAAAAAAACAAAAAAAAUUAGACAUAUUCAACCUUCUGAAAAAAAUAUGAGAGAAAAAAUAAAUAAAUUAAAACUAUCAACAUCGAAGACAAAGUCAUUUCUCUAUACGUGGAAGAGUAUUAAACGCAAACUACACUCUAUAGUCUCAGAGAAAAGUGCAAAUUUAGAACUCAGUGUCCCAAAAAAACCGUAUCUUAAAAGAUAACAGAAUUCUCAUCAUGGUUUUGACACAUAUCAAACACUGUCCCACAAUAAGAACAUAUCUUGUAUUAGUAUGGCCUCACAUUUAAUAGCAAAAGCUGGAGGCGGCACUAAAAAAUAAAAAUUGAUGUAAACCUCAAAGAUUAAGACCCUUAACUCAAUUUAAGCCUAGCUCAUUAUUUCUAGCCACCCCUUAUAAAUUAAACCGUGUCCUUGUGCUUCAUACACAUCCUCAAUCAAAACAACAUAAGCUCAAUUUUCAUUCCUAUAGCUACCCUUUUCCCAUAAACACCUGAAAUUAAAUCACAUUAAUUAACAAUGGCAAAUUCUCGCAUUGCAAGGUUUUUCAUGGAGGUGGCGCCGCCACAAUAUGUUAAUGUGAUGAGGCAUAGAACAAAAAAAAUGAUGGAAACAAUAAGUGAAGAGGACAGGGAAAUUAUCUCAAAUGAUAGUGUAAUUUCCCCACCUAAAAGUUCAUCAACAACUUCACUUGCUGCAUGUACCUCUUCUACCAAUGCAACCGUUAAUACUGGGUACUUCCUGAAGGAAGUUCAUAGAACACUCUCAAGUUUGAAUCACUGAAGCCAAUGAAAAAAAAAAACAACCUCUGGUGGCUGUUUCCAUGGGUUGUUCUUUUUGUUAGUGUUUUUAUUCUUAUCUUUUAUUUUAUGUAAUGAUAUCCUAUUAGUUUGUUUUGGAGGAACAAGGAUAGUUGAGACUUGAGAGAGUAUAAUGUAACCUUAGGGAUUCCUGCUGCAUCUGUGUUUUUCUAUGAUGUUACAGGCUCAUAAUUUUCUAUCAAUAAAACUCAAAGUUUUGUGCCUUAAGUUAAGCAUCCACAAAUUUAAUGUCAUGGUCAAUUUCAAGUCAUUUNNNNNNNNNNNNNNNNNNNNNNNNNNNNNNNNNNNNNNNNNNNNNNNNNNNNNNNNNNNNNNNNNNNNNNNNNNNNCCAAAUCCCAUUUUCUUUGUGAAAUCAUACUUUUGAUCUUAAUAUAAAUGUAUUUUCAGCUACUUCAAUCUGUAUCUGAACACUAGCUACUUCUGAAUUUUAUACCUAAAAACACUUGGUACAACUUGGGAAGGGUGGUAGGAGUAUGGAUAAUAAAACACCAAGCAUAUAUAAAUGAGAAAAUGUAAGCGACUUCAGAACCUGAUACAAUAUGCUAAAAUUUCUAAAAUUUCCACUGUGUCAAAAAGACCAACCUGUAUCUAAAACAUAGGUAUCUUUCUUUUCAUUGUUUACUGUAGAAGAUAGCAACGAGAUAUCCAAGCUCCCACUGGUAGAGUUUAGAUAUCUGCUUUUGUCUUUUGAGUUUCCCCUCUAGAAACUUCUUCAACGAGGAAGUUUCUGAGUAGCCUUUGGUCCAAAAUCAUAUUUGGAAUCUGCAGAAAGCAAACCCAGAAGAUCAAACCUAUGCACCACAAAAAAACAAGAGAAUAACGAAAUAGCUAUAGCUAAGAUGAGAGGUACCUUGUCUCCAAAGAAAAUCUUCGUAUUAUUAGCAAUGGAUUCGAUAAAUUUUAGCUCAAGAAAUUCAGGGGUAAGUUUCAACCUGUUUGCUUCAGCUUCCCUUAUUACACUGGAAAUAGUAAGCAGAACAAGUUGACCAUUUCUUAUUUCAAAGACAGAUGAUUAAAAUAUCAUAGUCAUAAACUUACAUUAACCAAUGAAAUUAACAAAAGGAAAAUCUCACCGGUAGAAAUCUGCAUCCGCCAGACUCUUCUCACGUGCUAGGUACAUUGCAUUCUCAAUUUCUUCCUGUUUUCUUGCACUAUCUUUUUCCAACAACUUUUGUUCCAUAAGGAUCUUGCUAACAUUGGCAUUUUUCUCAGCCUCGCUAAUAGCCAUCUUCUUCAUAGUCUCUGCCUCCUUCUCGGAUACUUUUUGUUUCUCAAUAGCAAUUAAGCCCUAUCCAAUAGCAUACAAGGCACAGUGUUUAUCAAUAUCUAGAAUAGAGGAAAUUCAAACUGAAUAAGAAUCGCGAAGAGAAAUAUAAAAAAAAACCUACUACAAGCGAUUACAAUUUACAAGACAUGUAUCUCAGAUUAUGACAGUAUGAAUCAAUCAUAAGGUUAAAUACAGAGUUAGCACAUGUUUAACUCAUUUAAUGAGAUUAUCAACUAAAUAUUGCAUCUGUCUAGCUUCGGGCAUAUUUACAGGAAAAUGACAGGUGCUUAUACCUUAGUACGCUCCUCUUCCAUCUGUUCAUAGUUGUGGCUUAUGUUUUCUGGAAUAUUUGGCUUUGUGACACGGACACCAAUGAUCUCAAUGCCUGGAGCAUAACGGGUACAGUCAACUUGAAGAGCAUCCUUCAUCUUUUCGUCAAUCUGAAAGUGCCCCGAUGCUUGCUUGUUAAUAUAUUAAGAUGAGAUAACUAGAAAGGAGAAAAGCCAGAAGACAGUCAAACAAUACAUUUUGGGUUAACUCGGCUAACACAACAGAGCAAAAGAAUCACAAGUGUUGGGUGAGGGGGACUUAUGACUUGCAUCAACUACGUUUUUAGUGGAUGAGAAUGAAAGUUACAGCUUAAAAUAAUACAUCAAAGAUCAAACUAUUUCAUAUUAUGUCAAUGGAAACCCUUCAAUUUUGCUAGUUUGAUUAACCAUACAAUAUAAAUGAAAGUUAUCAGUAUAAAAUAAAACAUGGAUGUAAAAUUACACUUUCAAAUCAUUAAAUUACCUGAUCAAACACAUCAAUAUAUACUUGUUGAAGACUAUGAGAGCUGCAGAACUGAUUAAUCUCAUGAUGAAUCUUGUCAUAUAUCCAUGUCUUGUCAUAUUGUACACCAUAGUUGAGCAAUGUCUCAUAGACAGAUUCUUUAUGCAAUCGGUUAACAACCUAAAAGAAGAACAUUACUGCAUUUACAAUUAACAGUGUAAAAAAGUAGAAACUUGUAAACCAGAUAUUGCGUAUGACAAUUAUACUUGCUAUUACCUCAAUCUUCCCAAAAGUAAUCAUAACACCACCUUUAGUACCGCACGGUAUAUCUGUCACCUGCAAUUGCAACCAGUACUCAAAAUCCAAAUUAUAGAUCCAACAGAAACCCUAAUUCCCAACACUGUUCUAUAGAAUUUACCUCGUCUGUUUGAAGUGUCACUUGAACUGGCUCAAACUGAGUUAAGAAAGGCAUCUUCAUAUGGAAACCUGGAAGAAUUAAUAUCACGAACAUCAACAAAAAUUGUGCACACAUACAUCGAAGAAAAGCAUCGAAAAAACAAAUAAGCGUUUAGCACCUGGCUCUGUAAUUGUUUUCAGAAGCGCACCUCCUCUCCAAUAUACCCCCACAUGGCCUUCAGGGACUUGGUGAAUAACUGACAUUGUAUUUUUUAAGGAUGGUGAUGCUGAAGGAACCAAAACCUAUAGAUAAUAAGACAUCGUUUUAAGCUUUAGAUGUCGACUAGAAUCGAUUUCCAAAUAAUGUAAAUAAGUGGUAGUACAAAAACAACAGUAACCAAAUUAGCUAGGUGGGUUCAACUACAUACACAGAUUAAAUAAACCAUUAUGCAUCAUCAUCAAAAUCAAAGCACACAAGAAAUAAUAUCAAAACAACAAAUUAAGACAAAUAUUCCAUUUCCUAUUCAUUGUCAUAAUAUAAUGUUAGUAAUUUAAAAUUAUAGUCAUUCCUCUGUUUAAAAGAAGUGCAAAGGUGAGCAAAACAUUAAGUUGGAUGUCCUACCGUAAGUGCCCUAUGUAUAUAUGAUUACCAUAUCAUUUUUAUUGUGUUAACCCUCCGGUACCCAGGAAAAGUGGCCUGAUUAUUCGAAGUCCGGCCGCGAGGUAUGUAAAGUCUGGCCAAAAAUUGUUCCUCUUAGAAGUCGAACAUGGGUUCACCUAAACGAUGCGUUCAGUGGGAGCUCAUUAACUACUUGACCUCAAUCACUUGGUUACCAUAUCAUAUUUGAUGCAAAACAAAUGGUUUUAAAUUGUGGUCGCAAUUUUGACAAUAUCAAGCACAUUUUCCUGGAAUAUAAAAUUUCACAACAACCGUAACCACAAUCGCUAUUUAGAAGAAUUAUUAUUAUCUUAUAGAUGCUGGUGAGGAAUGCCCUAAAAAGUGAAUUACAUUUACAUUAACAUGAUUAUUGGUACUAAACUACUACUUUUUCUAUGUGUGAUUGUUUUUCCAAUGUAGGUAAUAUAUUUUUUCGUUGUGCAAAUGCAAAACAGGGAAAUUUUCAUGACGAAUGAUUAUAGACAUGAGAAAGAUAAAAAAAACAGAAUUGGAAAGGUUUUAAUUUCACUAUUACAUUUGCGGAAAGAGAGGAAGAGAAAGAGUUACCAAAGCGGCAAUGAGUAUGAAUGAGAGAAAGGGUAGCAUAAUGGAAGUUGAUGAAGGAUCACGAGUUUGCGAUAUUCGAGUUUGGUGCUGCGAAUCCAUGGCGGUGGAACUUUUUCUGUUUGUGUUUUUGAUUCUUUGAGUUUGGGUUUGGUAUAAAACACCUCUUGCUUCCUUAUUUGUUUGAUCGUGAGAUACACCAAAAAUUGAUUUUGAACAUAUCUUAUUUGUGGCCAAUUUUAUUUUGUCAGCCUACGGCUAUGUUUGGAUAGAUGGAAAGUGAUCGAAUUGAAUGGAAUGGAGUGAAAUAUAUUUAUAUUUCAUUGUUUGAUUUUGUAAAUAAUGGAUGGAAUGGAAUGGAGUAUGAUGGAACUCAUUCCAUCUAAUAGCACUCAUUCAUCUAAUUUUUCAUUCCUCCCAAUUUGGGGUGUAUGCAAUGGAAUGGAAUAAACUAAUAACAAAAAUACAAUUUUGUUCCUUUUUUUUUUCUUCUCUUUUAUUAAACUUUCUUUCUUCCCUCUCACUUGUCUUCUAUUGACUGUUCUUCUUCUGCAAUUUUAUUCCAUCGAUCCAAUUUUUCUAUUGACCGUUCUUCUUCUGCAAUUUUCAUUCCUCCUUAUUCUUUUUUCCAUUAUUUUCCGCCGUGUGUUCGUCACAAUGAAAUAAAGGGAUGACUGAGGUAAACAAAUAUAUAUAUAUUCAACUACGUACUAGUAUAUUUUUCGUCAAAAAAAAACUACUAGUAUACUACUAUUUAUUUAUUACAGUGUAUUACUAAUUAGGUAAGGUAAAUUCUUUAAAUACAUUAUAUUUUUUUGUUUGGUCUGACAUUAUAUAAUAAUAUUAUUUUAAUAUAAGAUAUAAUAUUAAAUAAUUUUUUGUUUUGUUUUUUGGUCAAUAUAAGAUAGUGUAUUUUAUUUCUAUGUAAUUGUGUUUUUUAAUUAAGGGUAUAAAUGUAAUAAAAUAUUUCUUAUCUGUUCCGUUCCGUCCACUUUCAAAACAAUGGAAUAGAAAUAUCCAAACAAUGGAAUGAAAUAUUCAUUUCACUCCUCUCCAUUCCACUCCAUUUCAUUAUGUUCCACUCCGUUCCGUUCCAUUCUAUUCCAUCAAUCCAAACAUAGCCUAUGUGUUUUUCGCACGUCGAGGUCGGCCAAGUUGUCAAUUUUAAUUGGCCACACCGUGGUUAUAAAUAGACCCCUUCAGACUUUUUAGAUCUCACACCUCUUUUUCUCUUCUUAUGUUUCUUUUUAUAUUUUUUUAGUAAUGUUAGUUCGUUUAAUUUUUGUCAUUUCAUGUUAUAUCUCCGUUUCAGGGACAAAAUUUCACAAGAGGAGAUUGUUUAGUUUAUUUAAUUGGCAGUUGAAAUUUUGGAUGUAAUAUCUAAAUUGAUGUAAUUUUUGUGUUUAAUGUUUUAAUAAAAAAAAAUUAUGUCUUAACUUCAUUUUGUCUUUCCUGAUUUUCUUUUUUUUAUGUAACAUAGUCAUUCGCUACUUAAGUAACAGAAGCCCCAUCACCCUACGACCAAUCCGCUACUUAAGUAGUGAAGUGACUGCAAUAAGAACCAGAAGCAAGAACCUAUAACCAGAACCAGAUUUUUGGACUUGUUAUCUCGUUGAGCAAUUUAUCGAUGUCGAUACACGUAAUAACAUUAUUCAUUUGCAAACAUAUAAUUAUCAAAACAAAAUAAUAACAUAAAAUACUUAUCCAAAAGAUGCCAUUACAAAAUAUAUGUAAUUAUCCGAACAAACAUAUAACAUAAUUAUCACAAAAGGAGACUAUGCAUAGCCCCUCCACCACCCGACCUCCCGUAUUACGGUGCAAAAUUUGAGACAUCCCAAAUUUGUACAUCACCCCUGGCACGUGACCCCUCCGUUAACUCCCCACUCAACAACAAAUCAUUUACGAUCUGUCAAAUUCUAUUUAUUUUAACGGCCAAGCUUGUUGCAAGGGGCCCUUUCUUCUCAGCUUCCCGCUCUAUAAGGGCCUUCUGUUCACACUGCUUCAGUGGAUCCCUUGGCGGCAUAGGCCUCUUGUUCACACUCCGUGCUUACCAUACGGGGCUCAUGUGAUGUGGAAUCCCAAAUUUUCUUUGUAUAAAUAUUUAUCCAAAAUUAUUGUUAAACUAUCGUUUAAUGUUACUCAAUUUUUUUCAUAUACAUUAUAUUAUUGGAAUUAUCAUAUCUUAUUUAAUCAUUAUAUAUGUUACGGCUAAUCAAACUCAUGCAUCGCACGGGUCGAUGUUCUAGUAAUAAUAAAGUAACGUUGCAAGGCGGAGUGGAAACAAACAAGACAACGUCGACGAGGGAAAGUAACGUAAGUAUAUACAUCUGAGAGAUGUUUAGUAUUGCAACCUUUUAAUUAUUGGGUCAUGCUAACCGGUGCCCCCGGGCACUGGUUAAGGAAACUAAAAAAGGAAAUUUUAAAAUUGAAAAUAACACUUUUUAGACUUUCGAGGCGUUGACUGCACAAACUUCAAUAUGAUAUUACUAUAUUUGGUUCCUUAAACAGUGCCCCGGGACACUGUUUAGCAUUUUCCUUAAUUAUUUUAUUUGAAAUUAAAAUAAAUUAUAAAGGGUUAUAGUUAAAAUAAUAAGAGUAAAAGUCGAAGAAAUAACAAAAAGUUAUAAGCUCAAAUGUUAAUUGAAAUAACAUCUGAAAAAUAAGCUAUAAACUAGUAAAAUAAGUUAUAAGCUCGUAGUAAAAAAACGUUAUUAAACAAAUCUUUUACUCUCUCCAAUCCAAAAUGUAAGUCACUUUGAUAAAAAUAAUUAUACCAAAUUAUAAGUCACUUUACAUUACCGGUGAAGCAUUUAAUGCUUUUUUUUUUCCUAUUAUACCUUUAACUAUUUAUUUUACUUUCUUUUUUCAAUUCUUCUAUUUAUUUUUCUCAUACCAUUAAUGAAGGACAAUUUUGUAAACUAACUCAUAAUUUCUCUUUUUCAUACAAUAUUAAUCAUAUUUCUUAAUUUAUGUAAUAUGAUCAAAACUUGAAACGGAGAGAUAUAAGCUAAAUUAUUGUGAUCACCAAUCAGAACCUUAAUUUGAACAGAAAAAUACAGCUGCCAGGUCACAAUUAAGCCAAGGCACAAAGUUGAAGGAAAAAUUAUCCAUGGAUUAUGGUAGCAUGCAUGCGUCAUGCCAAGUCCUACACUACACGACACACAUGCCACUGGUACCAAUGGAGUUUACGUCUGAUCACACGUGUAAAGAACCAUCAGAAAAUAUGACAAAGACAUGGAAAAAAGUACAUUACAACUCCCCGGAACACAACCUCCCUUUGUUAUUCCUUUUAGUCUUACAUUAAGAUUAGGAGAGGUAGUAUUCUAUUUUUAUUGUCCUUUCCUUGAUGUUUAGAAAAAAUAUUAAUGUCUUUAAAAUUUAAAAGAGGUCUAAAGAUAAAAUGAAUCUCAAAAGGGUCUAUAUUUCGGGUAUUAUUUAUUUAAUGGUUUUGUUAACCAGUGUCUUGCACUUUUUAAGGUUUUUAAUUAAAGAAAUUAUUUAUUUAUUUACUGACAAAAAAAUAUUAAUUUAAAUUAAUAGAAUACAUCAAAUACAAUCUCAUAUUCAAUAUCGUUAAAAAUGUAAAAGGAUCAAUCUGUGACAAACUCACAACAUACAAGUUAAUAGCAUACAACGACCAGUUGCCUACUACAAAUAAUAUGAUAAAAUUAAAGUGACCAGAAUAUUCAUGCUUCCGGAUCUGCAUCGUUGAUGCCAAAAUCGUUGAUAUAUGAAUCUGCAAAUAUGCAACUGAUCUUUCAACAAGAAUAAGCGAACACCACAACUAUACGAGAGGGAAACUAUUUAUUUAAAAAGUUAAACAUUUCAAUUUUUAAUGCAUUGAUUUUACACAUAAAAUUUAUUACUUCGUCAUGUUACUAUUAUAAGCAAAAAUUUAUUUUUUAGAUUCAUUAAAAAAUUAAUAUAUUUAGUCUACAAUAUAUGUCAAUUAAUACAUUUGUUUUUCAAUGAAACUAAUGUCCUAAGGACUCCGGGGACUUUCUUUAGUAUUUUCUUUAUUUAAUUAAUUUUUUGUUUUUUGGUGCACCCUUAUUUAAUUACCAAGAAGACUACUAGAGAGAAAAAUGUGAAAAGCCUUGAGCNNNNNNNNNNNNNNNNNNNNNNNNNNNNNNNNNNNNNNNGCUUAUUUCUCUUGAUCUCUUUUUCUUUUCUUUCUUUCUGCCUUAGACAUACUCACAUCAAAAUCACCUUCUCUUGUCAUGGCUUUUCUGGCCUAUGCUCUGCUUUUCCUCUCCCUCACUGCUCAUUCAAGUAAGCACCAAGAACUACUCCUAUAUGUUUGUCUAUCUUUCAAGUUUCAACAUUUUUAAUUAUUUAUUUUUAUUUAAGAAAACUAUGAAAAUUUUCAACAUUUAUAUAUUUUUCCUAAUUCCUGAUUUGGGUUCCUUUGAUUAUUUACAAAAACUAUUUCCUUUAAUUCUGGGUUUUCUGUAUGAAUAAUUUUAGAAAAAUAUCAAUUCAAUCCACUGGUUGGUUCUGUUUUUUUUUUCUUUUCUAUAUGAACUAGUUCUGUUAACACAACUAUUUUUUGCCCCUUUUUUAUUGAAACGGAAAAAAAUGGUUAUGCACUUAUUAGUCCCUCCUGGCAAUAUUAUAAGCAAAAAUAUAGCACAAUUGACAGAAAUGUCAAAAUUGUUAGUGUCGGACGCCAUGACGGNNNNNNNNNNNNNNNNNNNNNNNNNNNNNNNNNNNNNNNNNNNNNNNNNNNNNNNNNNNNNNNNNNNNNNNNNNNNNNNNNNNNNNNNNNNNUGUUUUUUUUUUUUUUUGCUGACCAGAGGGAGUAUUGUUCUAUGAAAAAGGUGGAAUUUUGGUGUGUAAUUAACCAUGUUUUAUUUUCACAGGUGCUUUUUACUGUGUUUGCAAAGAUGGUGUGGCUAUUAAACUUCUUCAGGAGGCAAUUGAUUAUGCUUGUGGAACUGGAGCUGAUUGUACCCCUAUUCUUCAAAAUGGACCUUGUUUCCAACCCAACACUGUAAAAGAUCACUGUAACUAUGCUGUUAACAGUUAUUACCAAAGAAAGGGUAAUGUUCAAGGUAGUUGUGAUUUUGCUGGUGCUGCAACAACUUCUCAAACACCACCUAGUAAGUAUUUCCGUAUAACCACUACAUAUUUUUCGUACAUUUUUGUGGGAUUUUAUUUUUAUUGAUUCUCUUAUCUUCCUUGUGUUUCUUUUUCUACAGCUGCAGUUUCUGGAUGUGUUUACCCUUCAAGUCCUGGGUAUGUUUCAUUAUACGUAUGAUUCUUGUUCUGUUUUUUAUUUUAUUUUAAUGUUGUUUUGUUUAUUUAUAAAUCAAAAUAAUUGAGUAAGUUUUUUGCAAUUAAGUUUGAGUUUUGUGAGUGUGACGUGAGAAUUUUGUGGAAAAGUCCCAUUUCUUAUAAGCAUUUUAUGGUUAGCACUUACCUAUUGGAUGUUUUCAUUUUCCAAAGCAGUUUUUCUUGAAGUAGUGUUUUUCUUUUUGUUUGCCAAGUAAAGAAGAAGAGACACACAAAAUGAGUGGGGUCCACAUCCUUUUCAUUUCUCCCUUAUUAUUAAUUAUUAUUAUUAUUCCCUACCGUGCUUACUUUUUAAAUUCAUAGAAUGUUGAAUGUAUCUGGUCUAUAUUAUUGAUUAGAUACAUCCAAUAUUCUAUGAAUCUAAAAAGUAAACUUCGUCUUAUAAUAAGGACCGGAGGGAGUAUUAUGAGAAGAAAGGUAAAUAAUCUGUUUUUUUUUUAAUUUUGAAUUGUCCAUAAUGCCCUCAUUAAUUAUGUAAAAUGUGAAACAUUUGUGUUUCACUGCCCUUCCAUUUUACUUGCACAUUAGUCAAAAGCCCCUUUUCUAUUGAAAUACUCCGUCGGAUCUUUACUCCUAUAACAAAAAAAAAAAUGUUUUUUAGAUUCAUUGGACGGUUAAUAUGCUCCCUCCCGUCACUGCAAAUUUAAUAUUUUUGAUAAAUUGAGAAAGUGAUGUAUCUUAUGGAUAAUAUGGACUAUAUACAUCACUUUUCUAAUGAAUCAAAAUAGUAAAAUUUGGUUAUAAUAGUAACCAAAAAGUAUCUUGUGUCGAGCGAGUAAGACUUGACAUGAUUUCGAUAUUUCCAAGUCACAGAUUUUGAUAUUUCCAAUAUCUUUGUUGUGAUUUGGAUUGCUGUCUCACACACUUUGACGUUUGACACAGUUGGCAUAUUGGUAACUGCAAGUUUGAGAUUUGUCCGCAUUUCAAGUUUGGUAUUUCAUUUUUUUAAAAAAAUAAAUUAAAACCUACAUUGAAAUCUUAGCGGUAUGAUUUUGAUUCGACAACCACCUAUGUGCUUAUGUGAGAUUACUAACUCAAAUUUGUAUAACAAUGAAAUAUGUUAAUUUUGCAUCUUAUAUCACUUCAAGUUCAAUGUUGAUAUUUUUUUAUCCUGGCUCUCUUUUGCAGCAAUGCAGGAACACCAUCGACAGGUUCACCCGGUUCAACUCCAAGUCCGGGAACCGGUACUGGCACUGGCACGGGAGGAACUGCGGGUAGCCCUACUGUGUUUGGAAUAAGUCCAACAUCUACAAUUAGUGGCAACGGUGAUCCUUCUGCAGCUGUAGUGUCUUAUAUGAAAAGCAUCAACACCUUGCUAUUGUCCUUUGUUUGUUACCUUGUGUUUUAGCCUUCAAGGUCUAAACUAAAGGUGCAAUGCUUUACUAUUAGUACUAGUGAGUUAGAAAAUUUUAGGGGGUUUUAUGUGUGGAUGAGAUUUUGCACAAAAACAUGAUGGUUAUUAUGUGAUUUUACUUAUAUGAAUCAUCUACUUGCAAACCCAAUUUUGUUUUGUUCCUCCUAAGUAGAAAAUUUUUUUUGUAGGGAAUUUGGUUUUUUAUUUAGUGGUGACAUAUUUUGAUUAUGACAACAUGGAGGGUAGAAGUAGUAGCCUUUUUCCAUUUGUAUAUCUAAGAAUAUGACCUGCACUAUUUUUUAAUUAAUUUAAUGGAAGCCAGCUACCCUAUUUAUUAUCUAGUUUACAUUAAGGUUCAAUUUCAUGCUAGCCGGCUUCUUCCUUGAUUUGCCUUUGACAUUCCUUGCAGAUUCAAAGAAGAUGAUGUAAUCUCAAAGUAAUUUAAAAUGUUGUAACGUUUUAUAAUAAUUUUAUAUAUAAAGGUAGGUCAUGCCGACACUAGUUAGCAAUUUCGAUAAAAGUAUAUGAAUCGACAAGUUAAAUUCUCGGAACUCACGAAAUCUUCCAAUGAGAUUUUCAUAUUGUAAAUGAUAUUCAAACUCAGUCCAUCAUGUAAUUUGAGUUGAAUAUUUUGCUUACACAACUAACUUACUUACCUACGUUUUACUUUAAGGGGUUUUUUCUUAUAAGAAAAAACGUUACGAUUGAAUCAAACUCAAAUAGAGUCGGUCCAACAUUAAAUUAGACAUAAAGCAAAUUUUAAGGUGAGGUUUUUGCAUAAAAAAAUAAUAUUUUAUUAAAAUCAUAGAAUUUUGAGAUCCGAUACCACCGCACCCCAUGUGCAUGCAUAAUGAAUUUGAGGGUAUGUGUUAGAUAAUAAAGUAUUGAGUUAUGUUGAUCUGUUAGUUUAGAGUUCAUUUUAUAUAUAUUUUUUAGUAAUCUUUUAUAUUGUUAAGCUAUUAGUAUUCUAUGAAACCUUAACCUCCUUUGUUAUUCUCUUCGUUUAUAUUUCGGGCUGAUUCUAACACUCUGCUUUUUGUAACAUUAUGAAAAGUAUAUAGGUUGUUCAAAGGUCACUAUAUCAACAAUACAAGAUGUGAAUUUCUACCAUCUCUUUCCGUUUUUGCAUUUCUUUCAUGCCGUAGAAGGAUUUUUUCUCUUGGACACAAUUGCUCCUAAAAGUCAAUUACGACUAAGAAUAAUUUUGUUUUACAUCUUGACACGCUUAGCAUACAAAUCUUAAAUAAAUACUCCCUCCGUCCCAUAUUAUAAGCAAAAAAAAUCAUUUUUUCAUGUCCCAAAUUAUAAGCAAAAAAAACUAACUUUUAUCAUUUUCAAGAUAAACUUUUACUUAAUUUACUCUCUCUCUUCUUUUCCCCAUAAUCAAUAACCAAUAAAAACUGUUUUAACAUCUUCCCAUGAAAUUUAUUUCAACAAACACACAAAAAGUCAACCUUAAAAUUAUCAUAUUUUACUUUUCUUAAUAAGUGUGAAAAUAUUUUUUUUACCUAUAUUAUGGGACGGAGGGAGUACUACUUACAACGUAGUUAAUAAAAGUGCAUGCCGGCAUUUUUUGUAAUUUAGAACACAAUCAAACUAGGGAAAGAUGUUUUAAUCUGAAUAAGAAAUGGUGAGGACAAAUGUGUUUUGACUUUUGAAACUAUUUGUUCACGAUUAGUUAGUGUCUUGCAUCGGAUGAAUGUAGUAAUGUAGUUAGACAAGAACGGUCCAUUCAAUUAAGAUUGAACCGAACUGUAUAAUUGUUUUAUAUUUGGACUCUCUGAUGAUGGUCAGAUAUUCCUUAACUGCAUGCAAUUUUGAAUGCAUCCAAUCUAAAUCCCUUGUAUCGAUGUAUCAUAAUUAAAAUCAAGGCUUAAAUGUAAUUUUGAUCCCCUAUAUUUAGUAAAAUGCGAAAUUUUGGUCCCCAUUUUGUUUUGUGCAAUGUUGGUCCCUUAAUUUCUUUUUCCGCAAUUUUGGUACCUACUAUUUUAAAAAAAUUCAGACAUUUGGUCCCCUAACACACUCACAAGUGCAUGAGUAUAUCAUCGUAAUAAAAAGAGUAUAGAAUCCACAUGGACUAAUGAGCAACAUGGUAUAACUUUCAAAUCAAGGAAACAUAUAGUGAUUUUUAUAAAAACAAUAGUGAUUGAGAUUGAUUGGUUUUGAGAGUUGUAUUUAAAGGCAUUAUGCCUCACUUUGAAAAACAAUCAAUGAAUGAACAAUUAUCUCCUUGCAUAAUCUUUCUUAAUUGUAUCGGAUUCUAUUCUUUUUUUUAGGUCAAGUAGCCUAAUAACUAGAAAAUUCACCUUAAAGGUAAAUAAGUAGAGUGUCUCGGGUUCAAAUCCGGGUUCCUGCACAUAUAGUGCGAUAUCCCUACCAACUGAGCUAUGCUCAAGAGGACGUAUCGAAUUCUAUUCUAAAUCCUUAGAAUCCCUACUCUUGAGAAUUAGAUUUUUCGGUUUGUCCUAAAAUCCAUUUACCCGUUACACUUGCAGUUUUGUCCACUAUUAAACUUUUGUACACCCAUUUACCCCUAUAAUAACACUCGACCAACUUGCAAGCUUUACAAGAUCUUUUAUAGCAAGAGUGGUCAUUUCUCUGUAUAUAGCUCUUGAAUGUAGCCUGCUUUCAAUUUUGUUAGACUAGGUUCCAUCAUAUGAGUAAUAACAACGAAUUUUUUAUAAGCAAUAAUAACUAUGCAUUUCCUAUAAGCAAAUAUAUCCUUUUUACUUGUUAGUUUAGCUUAUUGCUUAGCAUCAAGAUUUAAAACUACGGUAGUUGCAGAUGUCACAAUCUUUGAAAUUGCACAGAAUCAAUAAUACUGUUGCGUUAACUACAAUUCGAAGUACAUUGCUUAGCAACGAAUUUUUUAUAAGCAAUAAUAACUAUGCAUUUAGCUAUAUGUAAACCAUUCAUUACUUCAAUUUAACACUUUACUUCAAAUAUAUAAAAACAGUAGAAAGAAAAGCUUCGGUAAUCAUAAGAGAGAAAUAAAGAGCGACACAUCAAACUUUAUAGCAUUUGUUGGAUAUAAGAUGAACACAGUAACUAUGAAGUCCGGUUCAAAGUGAGCUGCAAGAUAAGCUGAAAAAUGCUCUCUUUGCAGCCGGGCUAUUAGAUGCCUCACUACAGCGUCCAGGGUCAGCAUGCUAUUUCAGUGCUGUAAAUAAAAAUAAAAAUAAAAUAAAUAUCAUGAACAGAAAUGUUUGCACAUAGUUUUGUUGCAAAUAAUGCGAAACAUUGCAUAAAUAUAGAGAAUUGGUGGUAGUUUUAGUCAGAGAUGGUUUUGUCUCGAGAUAUAGUACAAUUGUAUAUACAAAGUUAGUGCCAAAUUUGUCGACCUAGAAAAUCAUAUAAUUAAAAGGUAUUAAUUGAAACAUUGACUGAUUGAACAUCCAACCAACCUAACUUAGGCCUCUUUCAAUUGAGUAAAUUGUUGAGCUAGACAAUCAUGAUCCCCGUUUUACCAAAAACAAAAACAUAAAUACAAGGUAUUGAUUGAAACAUUGACAGAUGAAUUACCCAACAUGCUUACUUUAUAGUCACUUUAACUAAUCUGUGUUACUGAUUGCAUUUGCUUCUGUUCUAACAAAUUUAGUACUGAAGCUCUGUACCGAGAAAAUAGUACCGAAGCUAAUUAUGAAUCAUACACAUACCUCUGGUUCAACAGGUUUGGCUUCUUCUGUUUUGACUUCUUCACCUGCAUGAGAACAUUCAUUAUUUGAGCACAGUGAUAUAGAGUUGCUUAACACAACUAUCAUGCAACAUCAACUAUGAAGAGCAUAUUUUUACUUCAAUAGCACAAUCAUUUAGGACUCGAAUAUGAACCACAUAUGCUACUCCACAUCCUUAUAAUUUUUAUUUAUUUUUAUAUUUUUUUGAAGUUAAUCAACAAUAAAGAAUCAUUCUUUAUAUUAUUGGACAUUCCUUACGUCAAAGUUAUUCAUCUAUGUUUAUAAACAUCAAUAAUGGAUCAAACUUCAGUUUUCAUCUAUGUAUGUUACAAAAGUCUUACUUGACUAUUUGAAAAGGUAAGUUACAUCUUCAAUUUAUCAAGAUAACAUCCAAAUAACAUUAUAAUGACCGUUUCAAUAGUAAAAUUCAUCAAGUAUUUUUGAAUUUUUUUUAACUAAGAUUGUGAUCUCGGUGUUGUCAAUGAGGGUCUAAUUGAAGUGUUGAGUGGUGAAACAUUAUUUGUAGUAUAUCAUCAAAUGGUCAUGCAUAAAAAUUUCUAACAGAACUGAACUAAUUGGUUCAACGGUGUAAAGAUUUUUAAAGAUAAAUGACCAACUUGAAAUUUUAAAUUAGGUUAAAGCACCUCUUGUGUAAUUUUGCCAAUAAAGUAAAGAGGAGUUCUUAGCUUUAACUCUUUAAGAACUCAAGAAAUCACUUCAUUUGGAGAUGCUCUAAAUAACAAGAAACUUGGUUGUGCAAUUGAUUGGUCAUGAAAUUUUUAGAUAUAAUCUUUAAAAUUUAUAUCUUUUGUUAUACAUAUUUAUUAUAUAAUAUAAGUAUGAAGGAAAAUAAAAUCUCACUAUAUUAGUAAUCAUUGAAUAUUAAAGAAAAGGUUGAUGUUUGAGAGGGAAAAAAAUUUGCAAAUAAAAAGACUAAGAACUAAAGCAAAAAAUUGAAAAUAAGAAAAAUCAGAGUGAAAAGAUAAUUGCAUUUAAUGUUAUACUGUCAUGCUUAGUUAAUUUAAAAGUUGAUAUAUAGAAUAAUAUAAUAUGAUGAAUAUAUUACAAUACAUUUUAGUAUUAUAAUGUAGUGUAGUGUGUAUGAUGUAAUUUAUUUAAAAGUGGGAAUAGUUAUUGUUUGGAUUAUAAGCUGUUCUGUUUCAUAUAAGUAUAUAGACAUGGACUAAUAUGUCUCAAAAGAAUGUUAGCGGGGCAUAGCCCAAAUGCAUAAUAAAUCUCAAUCAUCAUCUUACCUCCAUCCUCAGGUAAAUCGGAGGUCCAAAGUGUAAGGUUGUCUCUCAACAAUUGCAUGAUCAAAGUACUGUCCUUGUAUGACUCUUCACUCAAGGUAUCUAAAUCCGCAAUUGCCUCAUCGAAAGCUUGUUUAGCCAAAUGACAGGCCCUGUAUGUUUCAGUAAUGACAUUUAAAUGAGAGUUAGCAAUAAGAGCAAUUCACUGAACCUAUGCAGAUCAUAUAAUAGUGUUAGAACUUAGAAGCACAGAUGUGUGAUGUUUUUUGAAUUAAAUCUAGAUAUAUUCCUUGUUGAAAACAAUUCUAUUCGAGGCCUACAUAAUAACGAGAGUAUGAUAGCUCUCAAGAAAUUUGUUUGGCACAAAAGAUCAAAAAAGGGAUCUCUCAGUAAGCAGUAUCCUUGAACAUAUUCCCACCACUUGUAGAGCUAGCAUACUACAACUAGGCCAAUCCCAUUGGAUUAUUUGUGUGUGAUAGGAUGUGAGAAAAUUGUACUCCUAUAUUUUAUAACAGAUGAUUGUUAAUUAACUUGGUUGGAUGGACCAAUACCUAAUGAGUAAUAAACUAAUAAUGUUCAAUAAACUAUAAACCUAAUGAGUAAGAGAUGAUUUUUUAAUGGCCCGAACUAAACAUAUGAACUUCACACUUUUAAUCGUGCAUAGUAAUUAGUAAGAUGGUAGCUACAUGGUCACCCUGUCCUCUAUUAAAAAACCCGUUUGGUCUGAAAGUUUACUUUUGGACAUCAUGAAAUUUACUUCCAGACGGAACAAAAUCAGUAACUUGCUAAACACACUACCAAACUCAAUCUAUGCCAUUAAAGAGUAUAAGUAACUUGCCUUUCAGGAGAGUUCAGUAUCUCAUAGUAGAAAACAGAGAAGUUGAGUGCAAGUCCAAGACGGAUUGGAUGUGUUGAUGGAAGAUCCGUGCUUGCAGAUGCGGAAGCAGCCUAACAAUCAUAGAAAUAUUUUGUACAUUAAAACAAGGCACCAUAAAUAGAGAUUAACACAAAACAUUCAGUGGUGAAAUGAGGGAGAUAUCAGACAAUAUACCAACCUCAUAUGCCUUCAGUGACUGCUCAGCUGCCUCCUUCCUAUCUUGUUCGCUCUUAAACUCAGCAAGAUAUCGAUAAUAGUCACCUUUCCUGCAGGAUGAAACAAGCUUAUGGAAAUCAAAUAGAGAACCAAAGCAUGAAAAAGCUAGCAAGAACAAAGAGACGUCAUGUUAUAUGAGACGAAAUAUUAUUUGCAAAACCAGAACCAAUAAGCAGAAUAUUCUGUUACCUUUUAUUUCUCAGCAAGUAAUAUAUUGAGAUACAAAAAUAAAUUCAAGAUACAAUGUUCCCUUUUAUCUCAGAUGUUAUACUUAAUAUUAAUAUGUGCUACACUUAUGAAUGAAUUCAUAUCAAACGAUUCAUAUUAUUGCUUUAACAAUUGGGAUUUAAAAUACAAACUUAAUUAAAUAUGAGUCGUGUGAUCUUUCAUCCAAUGAACAAAAUCAAAUAUAGUGAUCACAAAAUAUUUUGACCGUGCCUGUGAACUUUUUACUGCAUUAAAAUCGAUUUGCAAUUUUAUUCCAUUUGGAAACAGAUUCUCAAAAGCAGAUGAUUAUUAAAUUAACCAAGAAAACGGCACAGGUAAAACAACAUGACUCACAUCUUAUAGUAGAAAACAGUAGCUUCUCCUGUGGUGGAAGAAGGAAUGAGAUGUUGGUCAAUAAUUGUGAGAAUGUCGCUGCAAAUUUUGGACAGUUCCUCCUCAACCUUUUGGCAAUAACUCUUGAUCAGUUUCACAUUGUUCUCAUUUCCCUUACCCUCUUCUUUCUGUUCAAUUGAAGACAUAAUUCUCCAAGAAGCUCUCCGUGCACCAAUGACAUUUUUAUAUCCCACUGAGAGGAGAUUCCUCUCUUCCACAGUUAGUUCAACAUCAAGUUUCGCUACGGUCUUCAUGCACUCAACCAUUUCUGCAUCAUAUAUACAUAUAUAAGUAUGUGUUUUCAACAUCAAUAUAUCACAUCAUUCAUUAAUUGUUUACAAUUUGUAUGUUAACACCACAAAAUUACACCCUACAUAACAACUAUCAGUCUAACCAUGCAAGAUGGUAGACAUUCAACAAUAGUUAUAUAACAUUUUGAUAAAAUUAAUUUAAAGGUGACACAAAUUGAUUUUGUAAAAUGGAUUCUGACUAAAAGCGAGUUGAAUGUAAAAUGAUUUAUGUUUGUCCCAUAAGUCCUAGCUCAAGUAGCAAAAAUGCCGAAAUUGAUAGGCCGGACGUCGUGACCCGGGUUCGAACCCCAGAUCUCACAAGUCACAAUUAUAUGUGAGUUUAAUUUAAGUGGAUUACCACUUGAUCUAAGACCAAAAAAAAAAUGAUUUAUGUUUGGAUAUAUUCCCGUAAACAUGGAUGGAACAUUAAAUUCAAGGCUAAAAUCAAUUAUAGAUUCAAGUUAGAAUUAAUUUCGAACAUCCAAUCAUACCAAAAGUGAAACCAAUCAAAAUGCUUUAUGAUCCCAUGCAAGUAGAAUCAAGUAUUUAUUAUCAACAAAAUUUCUAAUUCUGUCAAAAACAAUUGUAUUGUAUCCAAUGUAGAAUAGUAAUUGAUUUGAAAAACUCCAAAUAACAACCAAACGUACAUUGAAAUUAACAUUAUGUAUAUAAAAUCAAUUAGAUAAAGUUAACAUUAAUUAAUCUACACAUGAUUUAAGGCACAAUUAAAGGAACCAGGAAAUGAAUGAAGAAAACUGAAACCUUCAUAUCUCUCUGCUUGCUCAGCAAGCUUGGCCAUGUAAACCUGAGUCUCUCUCUCUUUCUCCGUCGACAUUGUUGUGUAAGAGGGGAAAAACCAAGUUUGUGAUUGUGUGAUGUGUUUGUGGAGAAGAAGAAUGCAAGCGAGCGAGGAAGAAGGGAAUGUACGAAAGGGUAGUUAUAUAGGUGGAGCAACUUGUGGAAGACUAGAUCUCAACCGUUGGAUUUAUGUCAGAUUUUCCUGGCUUGUAAUUCAUGUCAGAUUUUGAAUUUGAAUGAUGAAGAAAGCGCACAUGAGAAAAAAAAAAUUAAAUGAAAAAAAUUAAAUGAUGUGAGAAUAUUAUUAUUAUUUUAUUUAUGGCUUAUAUAUACAUUUGGUCCCUUACGUUUAUUUUAGGUUUCAAUUUAGUCCCUUACGUUUAAAAAGUAUCAAUUUGGUCCCUUACGUUUAUUUUAGGUUUCAAGUUGGUCCUUUCCNNNNNNNNNNNNNNNNNNNNNNNNNNNNNNNNNNNNNNNNNNNACUUGGACACGCUGACACGUGUACUGUUCAAACGGUGUUAGUGACAAAACUAACGAAAAGGACUAACUUGAAACUUAAAAUAAACGUAAGGGACCAAAUUGAUACUUUUUAAACGUAAGAGACCAAAUUGAAACCUAAAAUAAACGUAAGGGACCAAAUAUGUAGUUAAACCUUUAUUUAUUUAUGAGCUUGUGCCGUGUCUAAAUACUUUUUUCUUGGAUUUGUGUUUAACUAUAUCCUCUCCAUUUCUAAUUUUUUUUCAUUACCUCCAUUAUUAUAUAGCUUUGGGAAUAUAAAUGCAAAAGUGUGAUAUUAAGUAGGUCCAGAUAUCUUUUAUACACCCUAAAACAUUUAAAAACUUUGGUAAUAGAAAAAAUAGAAAUAAUAGAAAAUGGAGAGAAUCUCAACUCCUAAGUAAUUAGGAUCCUCUCUAUAUUCUAAAAUGGAGAGGAUCUCAACUCCUAACUAAGUAUUUCUCAAUAUAUUUUUGAAUGAGACUCAUCCAUUUUACUCAUGUCCAUCCGUUGUAGUCAUUCACAAUGACUAGUUCAUACUUCUUACCAUUCAUUUACAUAGGAUGUUUUAACAGGACCAAACAAAUCAAUGUGUAAAAGUUUCAGACGCCUAGAGGUAGAAACAACAUUCUUUGAUUUGAAAGAGGUUUUUAAAAAUUUGCUUUUGUGACAUGCCUCACACAGAGCAUCUGGAAGCAAAUUUCAAAUUAGGAUGACCUCCGACUAAAUUGAGUUGAUUAAGCCUUGAGAUUCUUCUCAUACUAAUAUUGUUCAAUCCUUCUGACUAACGGCUUUACAUGACUCUUGAUUAAAUAUAAUGUCAUAACCAUUGUCAUUUAAUUGUCUUAUUGCCCGAUGAUUAUGCAUUAGAGCUUCAACUAAUAAAACAUUUUUAACUGAUUGUGCUAGCAAUUCUUAAUACAACGACUCUUAUUCUGUCCUAUAUAUAUAUAUAUAUAUAUAUAUGGGACUAUAAGCAUUUGAAGAAAUAAGUUUUGAACUCACAACUACUGAUAUACUCUUUGAAGGUAAAGCACAAAAACCCUUAGAAUAUUCUUACAAACUAUGUAUCUUAAAAUAUCANNNNNNNNNNNNNNNNNNNNNNNNNNNNNNNNNNNNNNNNNNNNNNNNNNNNNNNNNNNNNNNNNNNNNNNNNNNNNNNNNNNNNNNNNNNNNNNNNNNNNNNNNNNNNNNNNNNNNNNNNNNNNNNNNNNNNNNNNNNNNNNNNNNNNNNNNNNNNNNNNNNNNNNNNNNNNNNNNNNNNNNNNNNNNNNNNNNNNNNNNNNNNNNNNNNNNNNNNNNNNNNNNNNNNNNNNNNNNNNNNNNNNNNNNNNNNNNNNNNNNNNNNNNNNNNNNNNNNNNNNNNNNNNNNNNNNNNNNNNNNNNNNNNNNNNNNNNNNNNNNNNNNNNNNNNNNNNNNNNNNNNNNNNNNNNNNNNNNNNNNNNNNNNNNNNNNNNNNNNNNNNNNNNNNNNNNNNNNNNNNNNNNNNNNNNNNNNNNNNNNNNNNNNNNNNNNNNNNNNNNNNNNNNNNNNNNNNNNNNNNNNNNNNNNNNNNNNNNNNNNNNNNNNNNNNNNNNNNNNNNNNNNNNNNNNNNNNNNNNNNNNNNNNNNNNNNNNNNNNNNNNNNNNNNNNNNNNNNNNNNNNNNNNNNNNNNNNNNNNNNNNNNNNNNNNNNNNNNNNNNNNNNNNNNNNNNNNNNNNNNNNNNNNNNNNNNNNNNNNNNNNNNNNNNNNNNNNNNNNNNNNNNNNNNNNNNNNNNNNNNNNNNNNNNNNNNNNNNNNNNNNNNNNNNNNNNNNNNNNNNNNNNNNNNNNNNNNNNNNNNNNNNNNNNNNNNNNNNNNNNNNNNNNNNNNNNNNNNNNNNNNNNNNNNNNNNNNNNNNNNNNNNNNNNNNNNNNNNNNNNNNNNNNNNNNNNNNNNNNNNNNNNNNNNNNNNNNNNNNNNNNNNNNNNNNNNNNNNNNNNNNNNNNNNNNNNNNNNNNNNNNNNNNNNNNNNNNNNNNNNNNNNNNNNNNNNNNNNNNNNNNNNNNNNNNNNNNNNNNNNNNNNNNNNNNNNNNNNNNNNNNNNNNNNNNNNNNNNNNNNNNNNNNNNNNNNNNNNNNNNNNNNNNNNNNNNNNNNNNNNNNNNNNNNNNNNNNNNNNNNNNNNNNNNNNNNNNNNNNNNNNNNNNNNNNNNNNNNNNNNNNNNNNNNNNNNNNNNNNNNNNNNNNNNNNNNNNNNNNNNNNNNNNNNNNNNNNNNNNNNNNNNNNNNNNNNNNNNNNNNNNNNNNNNNNNNNNNNNNNNNNNNNNNNNNNNNNNNNNNNNNNNNNNNNNNNNNNNNNNNNNNNNNNNNNNNNNNNNNNNNNNNNNNUUGUCUUAUGAACCGAUGAUUAUGCAUUAGAGCUUCAACUAAUAAAACAUUUUUAACUGGUUGUGCUAGCAAUCAACGACUCUUAUUCUGUAUAUAUAUAUAUAUAUAUAUAUAUAUAUAUAGNNNNNNNNNNNNNNNNNNNNNNNNNNNNNNNNNNNNNNNNNNNNNNNNNNNNNNNNNNNNNNNNNNNNNNNNNNNNNNNNNNNNNNNNNNNNNNNNNNNNNNNAAGGCUAAUAAUAGUUUCUUAUAUUAACUCAUGUGUGUAUCUAUUUAGGAGAUUCAUUAUUUUUAGAUUGCAUAAAAAUUUGAUUUGUUGUUCUACAAAAAAAAAAAAAUUGUUCAAAUAAAAUAAUAAUAAUAAUAUUUUGUUGCUCUAGAAAACAAAUUGAUUUAUUGUUAUUCAAUCACCCCAAACAUUACUAUUCCCCUUUACGUUUUCAUUCUCAUGGUGUAUGAAUUGAGUUUAUGAAUCUAUUGGACAUAUAAGUUAUAAAUCAUUGAAAGCAAAUACAUAUAUGAAUCAUCAAUCAUGGUAUAUAUGGGUAUAAAAAUUCAAUUUUAUCGGUUUUAGUAUAGAAAACAAUUUUAAUUAAAUUGAGUUUGGUAGUAGGUUGUUUAUGUGCAUAGUUUGCAAUUGACAUUGACAGUUAAGCAAAGGAGAAUGAAAACGCAAGGAGAAUAGUAAUGAUGGGGAUAACAACAAUUUAUUUUUGUAGAACAGCAAAUCAAUUUUUUUUUGUAGAAAAAAAAAUUAUUUUUUUUUUGGUAGAACGCUUAUCAAAUUUUUUUUGGUAAAAUAACAAAUCAAAUUUUUAUGCAACCUAAAAAUAAGGAAUCUCCUAAAUAGAUACACACAUGAGUUAAUAUAGGAAACUAUUAUUAGCCUUUGAUUAAAAGAAAUAGACGGUUGAGAUUNNNNNNNNNNNNNNNNNNNNNNNNNNNNNNNNAUAUAUAUGGGACUAUAAGCAUUUGAAGAAAUAAGUUUUGAACUCACAACUACUGAUAUACUUUUUGAAGGUAAAGCACAAAAACCCUUAGAAUAUUCUUACAAACUAUGUAUCUUAAAAUAUCAUAAGACUUAAAAAUUCUGAGCUUAAUUUAGUUUAGGGUCUUGCUAACUAGUGCCCCCGGGGCACUCUUUAAGCAUUCCAUUAAAAGAAACUUUUUAUUCAAAAAAUUAAACACUCCAAUUUCCAAUGCGUUGACUUUAUGCAUUUCCAUAAAAAUUCUAUAAAAAACUUAUUAUUUAAGGGCUUAAAAAGUGCCUCAAAGGCACUAUUUAGCAUUUGCCUUUAGUUAUCACUCUUUAAGUCUUAUGUGAUUAUAAUUUAUAAUGAAUAAACUUUCUUAUGUGAGGAGACCGGACUAUCCCUAAGAUUAAGGAAUUAACUAGUAUAAAAACUUUCUAUCAUUUUCUAUCCUUUUUAUACUUGAUCAUUCUUGCAAACUAUUCUUGACUUAAAAAGUGUUUCAGACAAAGAAAACACAAUUUAAAGUUUUGAACCCUUUUUUAUUUUUGUAUUUUUUUCAAAAAUUUUGCAGAUUUUUUUUAUUUUUAUAGCAUCCAACGUUUAAGUAGAAAAAUAACAAAUUGAAAAACUAACAAAACACACGAGAAGCAUUAAAAAAACGUGAGCCGUUAUUAAAACAUUAUAAAGUUGAUGAUUCCCACCAAGAAUUUGAUCGCCGAGUGUGCCGUCAAAAGAAAUUCUCUCGAUUUCCAAAGGCAGAGGAAGAUAAAAUAAGGAGAUACAUGUCGGUUAGAACAGUCCAAUAAGGCAUAAGCAAUAACCAGCCGGCCAUAAGACGGACGACAUAGAGGAAUGAUACCACAUCUGGUGACCUGGAUUUGGAGAAUAAUACUAUAUAUAUAUAUAUAUAUAUAUAUUAAAUUAAAUUUUUACAAUCUGUUUUGACCAACAACAAAAAAAAAUUACAAUCUGGAAUCACGUUAAACCAAACAUAUAUUAUCAGAACUGCAUAAAUUCUUACUAUAAUUUGGAUCACAAUUAUACAUAAAUCCUAUACCACAUAUAUUUUAAUUUAAAGAGUAUUAGCUGUAUAGAAAUUCUCUAAGAGCAUUACUGUUGGCAAUUUUGAACGUUUUGCCUUAGAAAUUUUAAUUCGAAAACAGUUUCUUAAAUUUGAAAUUAUAUUUGUAGAAACUUUGACCCAGUGGAUCAACAAACAAAAUUCUUAUGGACUGAGUUCUCACUUCUCAAAGAAUUCUGUAAGGGAAGGUUGUGCUACUAUCUCAAUUUCAUUAAAUUUCGUGGCCAUUCACAUUCUUUCUCAAAAACUGGUGAUUGUUCAACAAAAUGCUAUAAUUCCAAUGAUCAAUAAAGAAAUAAAGAAGAAUAAAAAAUGCUAACAAGAUAUUGGAUGAAUGAAUUACUACAAACAACCUUGACAAAAAGAUAAAAAAGAACUGUAGCUAAAUUCAACAUGAACCUUCACAAUCUACAGCUUCUUCAAUCUCUUGACCAAGUUGUGGUAAAGAUUGAAGUCAAGGCUCUGAGCUCUAUAUAUACACGUGGCAAUUAAACAAUCCAUUCCCUGAAAUUGUAUAAAUAGUGACAUUAUUUCAGAUGUAUGCUAGCUAUAGCCAAAUUCAUAUCUGAAUUUCAGAGUUUCCAGGAGGACUUGAGUUAUCAUGGACCUUGCGUCUGGGAUGACUUGCACAAGUUUUUCUUAAUGAAACCAUGAUGUUUAAAUUUAAUCCAACAAAAAUGCUACUCAUUUUUACCAAAACAAUAAAAUUUACCGAGUUUAGAUAGAGAAAAGAAGAGUGUAGAGAAAUUACCAGAGCAAAAAAAUUGUGUUCAUCUGUCAUGGUGAUUAGUGAGAUAUAUUAGUGCUCAAUCAUUUUUUCAAAAAUAAUUUCUGGCAAACAAGUAGACGCUGGUCACUGCCAUUCUGAAGAUCAAUUAUCCUUGCUUCCCAACGUACUUGAGUUGCAAGCGUGCGAGCCAUCUCAAUUGUUCCCACUGUAUCAGAAAGAAUGACCCAUCCCUACAAAAAUAGUGACGUGUAUUAAGAAAAAUUAAGCUACAUAGACCUUUCCAUUACACUGAGACUGACAACUAUUUGUAUUCAAAAACACAAAUCCAAUAUUACAUUUCAUACGGAAUUCACAACAAUAAAUGAGCAUGCUUCAUUAGAGUCAACUGGCUUAUAAACAAUCAUCUGCCAAGAUGAGAUCAUCCUUUCUGGAGGUUUUGCCCAAAAAAUGGUCAGAAAGGAAGAGGGUGGAAAGUACCAGAUUACUGUUCCUUUACACUUAAAAUAACAAUGACGAAACUUUCCAGCACAAUCAUGAAAAGGAAUAUAAACACCAAGAUCAUACCUCUGGCCGUAGUAUCCUAUCCAUCUCCAAGAAUAAGUCUAUCAUGCUGCACCGUUCUGAAAUGAACUGUGACAAAAGUCCAUUUGCGUGAAGGAGAUCAUAUGUUCGUGGGUAGGUGGGGAAAGGUUCACACCUGAAGAUCAACAUCAUUAGUUAGAAAGAAAACAAUUAUCUGGAAGUUCAUAUGCAUUAACAGUAUUUUACAAAAAGCUUUGCAACAAACUCGACGAAUUUUGAUCCAACAAAUCAGGUGCAUGCUACAUUAACCUUAAAAUUUAUUCUCAAAAGGAAAACAAUUUUAAAAAAUAAACUGAAUAUUUGGUACUGAAAUUUCAGCACCAUAUAUGCAGUAUGUUAAAGGAAAUUAUCGGCAUAUUUAUGAAACUUGUAGUAUGUUUGUUAAUGGAAACUAUUUGCAUAUUUAUGAAUCUUACGAAUCUUGCAUUAAAUAUCAAAAUAUAAUUUACUAAAUAAAUAAGAAGUUUCCAGGGAAUUAUUUUGUACAUAUGGUACAUACACCACCAAACCAUUUUCAGCAAUAAAAUAAUCAUGAACAUCAUCAUAUCUUUUUUAGUAAAUUAUCUAAAACUAUUUUUAAUUUUCCAACUAGUAUAAACUACAAUUCUGUUAUUUGUCAUAAGCAUUUCCAUUGAUAGUGCACGAGAAAUACAUUUAUCAGGCUUUCGUGGUAUUGUCUGUUUAUCACCCUCAACCAAAAACAGUCUUACUCCAGUCAGUUUUUAAAUUAUAAGAAACUUUGUCUAGAUCAAACACAACUUGUCUAGAUCAUGAACAAAUAGCAACAUACCAGUCAUGCAUAACACCAGCAAAACCUCUCUCUAGUAUGAGAGGAAGUGCAUUAGAAGCCCUGGCAGGAACAACAUUCAUGACCCACACUGAUUUUUUCUCCUCCAGCAGUGCAGCAUUCAAACCCCCAUAAUUAGAACUCAUGUCCAUAACAUUGCGGAUCAUGUUAUAUGGAGGCAGUGGAUCUUCAUCUCCAGGUCUCUUUGGAUGGUCAGAGAAAAUUAACGGUGUAAGCAGGGACCAGUAAUUAUCGACAGCUGACCUCCAAAAAUGCAUGUCUUCAUAAAACUCGUCAGGCUGAACUCCUGCAAUAAUAAAGGGAAAUUAAUGAAAAGGAAAAGCAAAUCAAAACGGGAAAAAAAUUUCGCAGAAGGAAGAGGAUGUAAGCUGAAUGCUUCUAAGAAAUAAUACUUUCCAUGAAUUUCAAGCUCAGCUGAACUAAAUUCAGAAUCAAAGGAUUUGUUCUGUAUGGCAAUCCAGCGCUUGCUAGAUGUACCACUAAUACAUGGUACAAGAGGCUUGUAGUAUGAUUGAGUAUCAUCCGCUUCUUUACAUAGUUGAAUAGCAUGCUGCUUGCUAGAAUGAAGAAACAAAAGCUAAAGUUAUAUUAUCGUAGUAACUAGCAAGUGAUCAACGGAGAAAGACAAUAUCAUAACUAGCAGCAGUCUUGUUCAAAAAAUAUAUAUAUCACCUACACUAAUUCAAAUAUCCUUACCGAGAUGCAUAACAAUCAAGGUCAGCAGUCUUCUGCCAGAUGAAAGUCUCAUCUUGCUGAGCUAGGAGCGUCCAACAGAGUUGCUGAGUCAGCUCUUCCAUCGGGUUCAACGUGAUUCUCUUUUUCUCCCUUGAUGAACCUGGUAGCUUGCUUGUAGGUGAUGUUAAAACAAAAUAUCCUCCAGGUUUAAGAACACGGUCAACUUCUAUGAGGAACAUUCCAUCUGUAGGAUGAGGUCAAUAUUAGAGAUCAAAGGAUACCAUUUCAUACAGAAGCUAAACAAUACUCAGUAUGUUAUGAAAAGUCGUGGAAGGAUAGAAAAAGCAAAUGGAAAUGAUAUACAAAGAAUGGAAGAAAAACAAGAAAAUGGGACAACAUCCAAAUAUAAACGAUAUGAAAAGCCAUCCAUUUAAUUGUUGAAAAACAAAUUAAUUAAAAAAGAACACCUUUGAUUUGAUAAAUCGAAAUAUAUUUAGGUUCUAUGAGCAAGAUAUUAAUAGAUACAUAGACUACUGGGCAUAAACUAUCAAAAUCAAACCAGGAAGUGACUUAGAUUUGGACUUAAAUCAUAUACAUUCCAUUCUAGGACAUACAUACCCAAGAUAUUAAAUCAGCUUAUAAAAGAUGAAUUAACAUAAAAUACAUAGAGGCUAUGGAGAUGCUAGGAAAAGCCAAAUGGUAUGCAAUUCGAGAGUAUCUGAUAACAUGGUUCCACAGUUCCACUGUCCCAAAGCUUUGGUAAUUAGGAGGUAGCCAACAAAAGUUCAAUAUUAUUUGCAUGUCUCUUCAUGGAACCAUAAAUAAGGUGGGUGACAAGUAUGGUGCUUCUGGAUAUUUGAUUAUAGAUAUUCUUAAAAGGAUCAACAUGUCAAGUAUCGAUUAUCUCAUAAACUUGAGUUGUUGGAUGAAGGUCAAGAAUGGUUUUAUAUCUCUAACACACAGGAGGAUCACCACACAUUUGUUUCAUUUCAAGGGUUAGUUAUACCUCAAUCACUGAUUUGACAAGUAGCCUAAUCAUGCUAAUUUUGGUUUCACAGUCUAUAACACCAAUUAUUGCACGCCCAACUCAGUUUUCUCUCUUAUUUGUUAACGAAAUACAACUUUCGACAAAAACUGUGACUUGAAUUUAAAAUAUAUGACAUAUGAAUCUCUACCUAAGAGAUUAUAUUGAUAAAGAAGUUUGAACUUUAUGAAGUCUAUAAGGAAAUCCAUUAAGCUAAGAAUAAAAAAGUAAUGCUCAUAGCUAUAAAAUUACCCUUUUCAUCCCAAAUGAUGCCACAUUGAGCACAGUGAAUCAUGUCAUAUGAUAAUGAUGGAUAUGGAAGCUGUCUUGCAAUGAAGUUGCCAAUCAUAGCAGGAAGACCUCUCUCAAGAGCCAAUUGAACUUGGCUGCCAGUUGCCUCAUAUGCCGCAACACAAACCGCCAUUAUUUUAAGUGACAACAAAUGAGCUCCAAAGCUACCAAAUCCACAAUUAAUGUCCAGUAUAGUUCGAACCUGUUAUAUUAUGAGCAAAAUAGAUCAGUAACAUAUAUUAUGCAACAAAAGACCAGACCUUAGUGAAAAUCAAGAAGAGAUAUAUGGGAAGCUGAAUAGCAUAAUCUUCCUUACUGUACCAUGCACGAACUUUGUCCCUGUAAAACACUACACGGUUCCCCGAAAAAAACAACAAUUGUUGGAUUAUGGUUAAUGGAUGACUUACACCAGCUUGAGGAAGUUCAGUAUCACUUCCUAGCCCUAUCAUCUCUGCAAUUUGGCGAGAGUAGUCUUUCACCCCAUCAAAGAUCAAACCAUCCUCUGAGUGAAAGGCAAUUUGAUUCUCUUCUAGUAGCAUCAACCUAGAGAAACCACAGCACAACAUUUAUUUAUAGAAAGUAAAGGAAAAAAAGAAGAAAAAAACUUUAUGAAUCAAUCACAGCCCUGAUAAAAGUUAAGUUACUUUCAUUCAAGCAAUCUAUCAUUCAAAAUUAACAAACAAUCAUUCAAUCAAUCAGUAGUUACAAGGGUUUCAAAAUUCAAAUAGUGGUAAAAAAUAAAACACAACUGAAAAGAUUUUUUUUUAUCCAAAGGAAGUACCUUUUGGUCAUACUUCCAGAUGAAAGAAAUUGAUCUUUGGUUAUCUUCACAUUCCCACUCCAUAUAAUAUCUCUGCCACUGGGCCAACGCAAUGGAAUUUUGUAUUCCUUUGGAGGACGAACCAAACACCGGUCUUCUUCCGUCAACAAUUUGCAGUGCCGAUCCAGCUCCUCACCCUGUUCAAAUCCAGACAACAAAUUUGCAGUCACAUUGUGGCAUGGCACGUAAUUUUCCCUUUCUUUUCCACAAAGUCCUAAUUCCUUUUGCCUUGAACCACCACUGGAAACAGAUUUCAGCUCCAAAUAAUCAACCGCUACACGCUCCUUUAUCCUCCUGUAGUUUGUGUAGAUGAGAGAAGCCGGUCUCCGAGGCGAGGAAUCAAUUGCAUUGGAAGAUGAAGAACCAAACAAUGUAAUCAGAGCCAGAACAGUAAUCACAGUCAAUAUUAACCAGUUUAAUUUUGGUUUAGGGCCGAAAAUCAUCCACAAUUUAUUCAACAAAGAGCUUCUCAUGUCCAAAAUCGUAAAUCCGUCACGUACAGAGAAAGAGANNNNNNNNNNNNNNNNNNNNNNNNNNNACUAAAUCGUAAACGUAAACACCUUUAACCCUGGUUUUCCAACCAUAACCUAUCGUAAUACCAUGAAUCUUAGCCACAAGUACAGCAAGCAUUGAAACAAUAGGCUGAUCUGAAAAAGGAAAAACCGCGCAACGCCGAUCGAACGAAUGAGGAAACAAUCGAUGAAUCAGAUCGGAGAGUGAAUUGAAAAUGGAAAACGAAUCCGAUCGAAGAAGUUAGGAGAGGAAAAUGGAGAAUUAGGGUUUUUGGUUGAAGAAGAGAGUGAGAUUGAUGAUUUAGAAAGCAAAUUGUGAAUGGUGAAGAAGAGCGCUAAUUGCGGUUGGGUCCAAACUGUUUGGAUUCUUGUUACUAAACUUUACUACUUCUCUUCGUAAUUUUUAUCAAUUUCCUUAUAUACUACUACUUCCGUUUCAUUUAUUAAACAGAUCCAAAAAUACAGACCAUAAUUUACUUUUUAAACAAACAAUUUCUUUAAAUGGAAUUCUUGGAUUUCUUUAGUAAUGACGAGUUUGGAUAAUAAAUUAUAAGUUAUGAGUUCGAUUCACAACUUAUUGUGAAAAAAAUUAUGCAAAGUGGUGGGAUUAAACUUGAGAAUCGUUUGUAGCUAGAAUUGAUUUACUUGAAGCUAGAAAUUGUAGUUUCUGAUUCUAGAAUUGAUUUUUACACUUAAAUUCUUUCUUCAACCCACUUUUAUAUGAAUAUAUUCAAACAUAAAUCAAUUAUGUCAAACUCAAUUCUGUCAAACUCAAUUCUGUUAAAAUCAAUUCAGUCUACCGCAAAACCAAACACAUACUGUGAAGAAGAAUAUUUAUAUAUAUAGUAGUAACAAAUAUUGAUUUUAUAUGGUCUUGGGCUUAAGCGCUUUGUAUUUCAGAAAAAUAAAUAUUUAUAUAUAUAGUAGUAACAAAUAUUGAUCACUUUAUUCUUUUAAGCUUAUUUCAGUAGGUGUGAACGUCAAAUUAUAUGAGCGGUGUUCGAACUUCAAACACUAUACUUAUUUACUUUUAAGGAUGAAAUUUUUAGUCAUUAUAUAUAUUUCGUGACAAAAAAAUAUUGAUAACUUUUUUUAGUCACGAUUACACAAAAAAAAUAUAUUAUAUUAAAAAUACAUAGACUAUUUUAUUAUUUUCUCAUUCUACCUUUUAUUAAACAUAUAUGUGUUACUAAAUAAAUAUAAUAACUAAAUUUUAAAUCCCUUUAACUUUNNNNNNNNNNNNNNNNNNNNNNNNNNNNNNNNNNNNNNNNNNNNNNNNNNNNNNNNNNNNNNNNNNNNNNNNNNNNNNNNNNNNNNNNNNNNNNNNNNNNNNNNNNNNNNNNNNNNNNNNNNNNNNNNNNNNNNNNNNNNNNNNNNNNNNNNNNNNNNNNNNNNNNNNNNNNNNNNNNNNNNNNNNNNNNNNNNNNNNNNNNNNNNNNNNNNNNNNNNNNNNNNNNNNNNNNNNNNNNNNNNNNNNNNNNNNNNNNNNNNNNNNNNNNNNNNNNNNNNNNNNNNNNNNNNNNNNNNNNNNNNNNNNNNNNNNNNNNNNNNNNNNNNNNNNNNNNNNNNNNNNNNNNNNNNNNNNNNNNNNNNNNNNNNNNNNNNNNNNNNNNNNNNNNNNNNNNNNNNNNNNNNNNNNNNNNNNNNNNNNNNNNNNNNNNNNNNNNNNNNNNNNNNNNNNNNNNNNNNNNNNNNNNNNNNNNNNNNNNNAAUUAAAAAGUGUCGGGGGCACUCGUUCAUUAGCAUUUACCAAUAAAAUAUUACAAGUAGGCUUUCUUAAUUUAAAAUGUAAUCUAAAAUUAGUAGCCUAGUUCAUAAAAAUAAAAAUAAAAAUAAAAAUAAAAAUUAGUGGCAUUGCAUUCGUGUUGACAACUUACUUACACAUCGUGUUGCAGGCAUAGUAUCUUUUUUUUAGUAAGUUUGUUUAUACUUAUAAUAGUAAGUUGUACUACAGCUCAAAAAACAAACAUAUGCGCUGCACCUGCACGUCCAGCUAGCAGAUAUGAUUUCGUAGCAUUCAAAAAGUUCCCAAACGAAACAAACAUCCAUUGGACCUAAAUAUUCUAGAUUUCAUGCAAGAUCGUAUAAAUUCAGAAUGUUUUAUUGGAAAAUACUAUCUUUUAUAGUUAGACAAAAAUUAAUAUUUAAAAAAUAUAAUGUGUUAAGAUAAUAAGUUGUUAGGCUUUAUAUUAUUGGGCCCGUUAGGCUUAUAGUCCACUAGGUUUUGCUAUAUAAUCUCUUGUAACUCUAUUUUAUUAAGCAAAUGCAAUUCUAAUAUUAUGUAACCGUAGUUGUCUCCUUUGUUAUUCCCCUAGUUUGUAUCUUUGAUUCUAACAUGAUAUCGAGAGCUUGUUUCGAUCCUCCUUAGAUUGUGUAUUGUUAUCCGCUGCCGAGUUCCCAAUAGUUUGGGAAUGUGAUUAUUCUAUUGAGGUUGUGUUGCUGCGUUUUGAGUUCUCUUGGUUAAUUUCUAGGUUGGUCAAAAUUGGUUUCUAUUGAUGGUUUCUAUUGAAUCAAAUGAAUUUGGUUCGGCGGAGUGGAGAUAAUUUUCGUCUGCAAGGAAUCAACCUUUUAUGGCUUAUUGGAGAUUUAUAGGUACCGUCACUAAUAUCAAAUUUGGAAUUGGCAGUGCAAGGUACUUUGGUUAUUGGAAUAUCUCUAUUAGGCACAUGAUGUUCUACGGGUUGAAAGUGGCUUUUUGAUGGUGUCAUACAUUUGUAUUUGUCUUCCAUUUCCUUUGAAUUAGUUGAUUUUUGCUUUGAUUGUUGAGAAAAUUUAUUGAGUCGUCAUCAUCCAUAAUGUCUAGUGUCCUUUUAUGGUACUGUCUAUUGGUUCCUAUGUGUGAUUUAUGUUGGGUUUGUUUGUUUUCUUAGAGGAAAUGACACCGUGUGGGUGUUUGAGUUAGUAAAAAAAAAACAAAAAUUGGUUUGUUGGUUUGUUUGUCUUGAUUUGAUUUCUUUCAGUUCCACUUGAAUUGGUUUCGUUUCCAUAUGUUUCAAUUCGGUUAUUUGGUGAGUCAAAGUGCUCACAAUUUGAUUAUUUGGUGAGUUGAGUGCUCACAAUUUGAUUUCUUUUGAUUGAUUGUUGGUCUCUCUUGUUUGAUUGUUUCUCUUCCCCUUUUUUGAUUCUUCUUUGUUUGAUUGUUUCUCUCUUAUUAACUUCUUUUGUCUGAUUACUUCCCUCUAUUGGUUCUAUUUGAUUGAGCUUAUCUCCCUAUUGGUUUCUCCUUAUUAGUUCUUUUGUUUGAUUGCACUUCUCUCUUCUAAUUGAUUACAUUGCACUUCUCUCUGUCAAUUCUUCUGUUUGAUUGCUUCUCUCUAAUGAUUUCUUCCGUCUGAUUGUUUCUUUCUAAUGAUUUCGCUUCUCAUUGAUGAUGGUUUUGUCUGGAUCCUGUCUUAUUGCUUCUCCCUGCUGAUUUUCUUAUGUCUGAUUGCUUCUGAUGAAUUCCCUUCUCUUCUGUUGGAUUGCUCCCCUCUGUCUGUUCUUCUAUUUUAGUUGCUUCUCCUUCUAUUGACUGAUUCUUCUGUUUGGUGAUUUAGUUCACUUUGGAUUGGAACAAUUUGGUUUGGUAAAGUUUGGAUUUGUCGGAUUGGUUUGGAUUUGGUUAGCUUGGACUGAAUUGGAUGAAAUGGAUGUUAGCUUGGUUUGAUUUGAUUCUCCUCUCUAUCUCUGCAGGUUCCUCUUUUGGUACUAUUUGUGGCUCUUGGUUAUGAUAUUAGUUGAUUUAGUUUAAUUUUAUGGGUUAAUUUUGUAACAAGUUUAAAAGCUUAGUAAACUUUAGCUUGAGGGAUAAUAUUAAGAUAAAAUGUUGAGUUUAUAUUAUUAAGUAUGUUUUGUUUGACAAACUCUCGAUGCUUUUUGUUGUUGCAUCGUGAGUUUGAGGGUAAGUGUUAAGAUAAUAAGUUGUUAGGCUUUAUAUUAUUGGGCCCGUUAGGCUUAUAGUCCACUAGGUUUUGCUAUAUAAUCUCUUGUAACUCUAUUUUAUUAAGCAAAUGCAAUUCUAAUAUUAUGUAACCCUAGUUGUCUCCUUUGUUAUUCCCCUAGUUUGUAUCUUUGAUUCUAACAUAAUGCACAAAUUUCAAACAAAUAUUAUUACAUUUCCAUUCUUAACUUUUAGAGCAUAUGUUAAAUUGUCCUUAAGAUAAUUUAUUUUUGAAAAAUACUGACUAGUGUUUUUAGGAUAGUAUUAAAUAUACUAAAUAGGUCUUAAAACUUUUUUCUUUUUUAAUCAUCAGUAUCCGGCCAGCUAGACGGUCUAAUCGGUUCGAAUGUCAAUUUUGACAUCAAAUGGUUCCGACCUCCUCCCGAUCGUAGUAUAUUGUUUUUGGUACAUACUAUUAUAUUUUAUUUUUUCUUUGACAUGAAUGCUAUUAGAUAUGGACUAAUGCUACGGUGGACCACCUUUACAAGUGGUCCAUCGUGGAUAAGUGAUAUACCAAUACGACUUUUAUAAAAUUUACUGUUAGAUUGAAAAUUUAUAUCAUAUAGAUUAUCUAUAAAAAAUUCUUAGAAAAAUUAUAAAUGAUUUGAUAUGUUACUGAGACAUUGUGUCGUGACAUUUAACAUUAUCCUUAUCCUUUUUAUAAACAAAAAUAAUAAGAAAUUUUUUAUAUAUAUAAUCCUUCCACAGAGUACUUCUUAUAUUACCUUUUUUCUUAAUAUUCUUAUAUUACCUUCAUGAUUUUAUUAAAAUUUCAAUAUGGAUUAAUUCAAUGUUUUCUUAUUAUUGUUUUUAAGAGAGAACAACUCAACUCAUAUUCAGUGUUUUUUUAUUAUUUAUUUUUUAAAACUAAAUGUAUCAUCCGUGCGCAACUGUAAAGACUAAUUCCCUCGAGGUAACUGAGAUCCAUUUAAGAUGUUGAUCUCUCCUAACAAAUGCUUCUUCAUACGCACCGAUCAGGGAUCGAACCCAAGACCAAAUGGUUAAGAAGCCCAAGUAUUUUUGCCACACUAUAUUGGUCGGUAUGGUUUCUAAUAAAAAUGUGUUAAAUUGAAUUUAUGAUUAUCGGACGUUGUAUUACGCAUGGAGAAAAUGAGUUGUAACAAACAAAAUUCUUUCAUUUUCUUCUAAGCUCAAAAUAUAGAGAACUCUCGAUACAAGAAAAUGUAUAACAACCUGAGAAUAGAAAAUGAAAAGAAAAAACAUCCCUUGUUUAACAUUGAGUUCGACACUUGUGGUGUGACCAGCCCAACAUCUUUGUUUGAAGCAAAGCUUUCCUCGUUAGUUUGCUUUGGUUUGGCUUGUUUCGGGGGAGAGGUGAGCCGUUUAUGCUGUAUGGAAAAAGGAGCUCUCGUACUGUGCCAAACCUAACGAGGCCAAACAAGAAAAUGUAUAACAACCUUAAGAAUAGCAAAUGAAAAGAAAAAACACCCUUGUUUAAUAUUGAGUUCGACACUUGUGGUUCCUCUUCGAUAAUCGGUUCCAAUUUGAAGGAAUUUGUGGAUGGAUCUCAUCUCUCUUGCCAUUUGAAAAAUAAAAUGCAAGCAAUCCGUUGUUGUUUUCGAUGAAGAAAAUUAUUGUAUUGAAUAUUUAUUUGAAGCAAAUGAUUGAAUACAAUAGAGAUGAAAAGAGUUAAAAUAAAUAUGUUUUGAGCCCGUAAAAAGAGGACAAAACAUGGAAUGUCCAACUAUGAUAUAAUAUGGAUAUGAUAUUUUCUCUUUAGGCCCCCCACGUUUCUUUUAUACCCCCCUUACUUACGUUUUUGCCCCUNNNNNNNNNNNNNNNNNNNNNNNNNNNNNNNNNNNNNNNNNNNNNNNNNNNNNNNNNNNNNNNNNNNNNNNNNNNNNNNNNNNNNNNNNNNNNNNUGAAAAGAGUUAAAAUAAAUAUGUUUUGAGCCCGUAAAAAGAGGACAAAACAUGGAAUGUCCAACUAUGAUAUAAUAUGGAUAUUGCUUCAAUCCAAACAGCAAAGGAUUUAGGCAGAAUAUGUUUUCUAACUAAAUAUCGGUAACAAUUCUUUUUUCGUUACAAAUUCGGUGACGAUGCUUCUAUUUUUAGAAGGAAUUAUGUUUGCACUAUAGAGAUGGUAUUCUUAGGGUUGGGGACCGGCCAGGCCAAGCUUUGACAGGCCUGAGUCUGACAAACGAUUUUUCUUCGAGCCUAAGUCUGGUCUACGGCCUAUCAAAUGUUAUUUUUUUUGGCCUGAUCUGAGCCUUUUUUUAUAGCCCGGCCUUGUAGCCUAUUUAAAAGUCUGUGUUACAUAAAGACCUCUAUAUAGUCUUUUUAAAUACAGGCCUUAAAGCCUAUUUCACAUUUAAAUUUUUAUAAUUUCUACAACAUUAAGAAAAAGCUAAUAAAAUGAUGGGGAAAUAGUCAUUUUCGUCCUUCAUUGUGCAACUUGCUAUCAAUCUGGUCCCUCAGUGAAGAAAAACUAAAAUAUAGUCCCUCAAUGUGCACUCCGUUAGUCAGUUUAGUCCCCGGCGUUACAUUUGGCCGUUAACUCAACAAAAAAGCUGAUGUGGCAUUUUUUUGGGCACACACCAGCUUGUUGAGUUAGCAAUAGUUUUACAAGUGGCUGAUGAUUUGGCAAAGGACGAAAAUGAUAGUAGAUACCAAAUUUUCCCAAUUUAAAUCCUUAAAUCCCAAACCACAUUGUUCCUUUUUCUUCUCUGUUGCUGCUGUUCUUCAUCUUCUUCCAUGUUUAUUGUUUUUGUUCUUCAAUUUGUUGUUGCCUUCCAUUAAUAGAGAGAAUCGAUCUACAUGAUGGGGGUGAUGUAAAUUCGUCACAACGUAGCAACACACCUUCUUCGCGAGCUGCAUUUCCUUCUUCCAUUAAGAUUUUUUAUGGUUGUGGUCGAAUUGCAGUUCAACGUGUUGCACAAACCCAGGCGAAUAUGGGUAGGGCAUUCUUCACAUGUGCAAUUAACAAGUUAAUUUUUACUUCUAUUCUUCACAUGUGUCAUUUUUAAUUCUUCAUAAUUCCAGGUUAAGGUGAUUUGGGUUUAUAAAAUUGAGAACAAAAACAAACUUCAUUGCUGGAUGAUUAUGGUUGUUGUGGAUACUUUGUAUGGGUUGACAAUUUGAUUGAAUGUCAUACAAAUUCAAGUGAUGAAGGAAUUGAAUCACUUGGCUUGCAUCAUGGAAGAGAGAUUGGGCGACAACAAGCAAUGGGUGGACAACUUUGGUCCCUUAUUGCCAACUCAACAAGCUGAUGUGUGCCCAAAAACUAACACAUCAGCUUUUUUGUUCAAUUAAUGGCCAAAUGUAACGCCAAAGACUAAAUUGACUAAUGGAAUGCACAUUGAGGGAUUAUAUUUUAGAUUUUCCUUAGUGAGGGACCAGAUUGACAGCGAAUUGCACAAUGAGGGACAAAAAUGACUAUUUCCCCUAAAAUGAUUAACACAAUAAUUAAAAGCUAAUAAAAUAACCUUAUACACUAUAACUUAUAAGUUAGCAAAACACUAGAUCAUCAAAUCCAGAUUCUUCAAGUGUAAGCAAAACAAAUCUAAAACCCAAGGUAUAAAGUCUAAUUUCUAAUUUCAUUUGUGAAUUGUGCUGUAAAAUAUUUUGUCUAAAUAAUAUAUUUUUUCUUUGUAAAAAAAAAAAUAUAUAUUUUCUCUAAUGUUUUGUAUUAUAUAAAUAAUAUUUUUUUACAAGAUAUAAAUAAUAAUAUUAUAUAAAUAUAAAUAUAAAUAAUAAUUAUUAAAUAUAAACAAGCCGGCUUAUCAGACUUUGUUAGCUUUUUUAGAAGUCUGAGUCUGACCUAUUUAUGUAAAUAGAUAGGAUCAUUUUAAAGCCUAAGCCUGACAUUUUUAAUAAACAGGUCAGGCCAGGCUUCAACAGGCCAGUCCGAAGGCCCCUGUAGGCCAGACGGCCUAUUCCCAACCCUAAUUAUUAUAGUUAUAUAUUCUUUUAGGCUUAAUUUUAGUUUUGAUCCUCUAUUUUUAUCAUUUUAUAGAAUUGGUCUCUCUAUUUUAAAAUUUGACAAUUUUGACCUAUCUUAAAUAUUUUGUCUAAAGGAAUUAAGUUUAUAAAGAAAUUUUCAUACGACUUCAUCAAUGUUAAUAUUUUCCCAUCAUCUGAUCAUAUACCACAUCAUUUAAAAUAUAUUACAUCGACAAUUUAUAGUUAAAAAAUAUGAUGGAAGGACUGAAAAUAUUAUAAUUUCUUUGCAUUUAUUUUUCUCUAUUAUAUGGUACCAAAGUUCGACUCAAGUAUUUUUCUCUUUCUCAUCAAUAUCAUUUAUAAAUUAACAAAUUUUGUUUUUUUCUCUAUUAAAAAAAAUUAUAUGUUUUCAUCCCAAAAACUUUCUUGUUUUGUUUUAGUUCUAAUGGACAAAAUUUUGAAAGAAAAAAAAAACAAAAUUUUGAUUUGUUUUUUUUAUAAUUUUUGAACAUGAUAUGACUUAUAUAGGUUUAACGUAAUAUAUAGAUGUAAAUUUAUAGACACAUCUUAGAACAUAAAAUAGAAUUGGUUAUUAGAGACGAAAAAUAAAGUAAGAAUUUUUUUAGGAUGAAAACAUGUGAUUUUUUUUUAGGAACGAAAAAUACAUUUAACCCUAAGCAUUUUAAGGUAGAAAACAUGUAAUAUUGGUGUAUUGGGAAGAAAAAUAUAUGGAGCACAGAAACAAAAAUCACACAGCAUAUAGGUAUACUUCAUUUAUCAAAUUCUGAAAAAUUUAUAUUAUUUUCCCAUUUGACAACAUACUUUAACAUUGAGAACGAUUGCUUGUGGAAUCACUAAAUCUUUUACAUUACAAAAUGAUCAACAUGCUCGAGCACCAAUAUGCAGAUGUGAAUUCUUAGGUAUCAUUUGACCUAACUUUUUUUUCUAUUCUUUUUCCUUAAAAGUAAGCUAGGUUAAACAACAAUUUUUAAAAGCUCUACUAAAAAAACAGCUAUAUUUUUUAAAAAAAUUAUAAUAUAUUAUAAAACAUAUCUUUUAACCUUACUAUAAUAAAAUAAAAAACAACUUUUAACCAACCUUUUUAUAUAUAAAAAAUAAAUAAAUAAGAUUUACCAAGUAACUUUAAUUUUAGUUUUAAAACUAUUAUUUCUAGUUUUAUAAUUAAAAGAGUUUCACACCUAAAAAAAAUUGGGUCAACGGUACCUGCAUUUUCUAAGUAUAAAUUUGCAUGUAAUAAUAUAAUUAAACAAACAGCAAGGAAUAAUAAUAUAAUAAAACAAACAAGGAAUAUAACAACAAAAUCUUUAAACAAAAAUGAUAUAUAACUGGCCAAUUCCAAAACAAUCAUACCAGAAAAAUUAGAUACAGUAGGAAACAAAAUUGGAAGAGAUUAAGAAAAAAGAAGUCAGUAUGGAGAAAACCUGAUUUAACCAAAGAACUCUGACGAAAAAAUAUCACAGAAACUACAAAGCAAAAGACUCUAAUUCAAAUUCAAACCAAAAUCCCUAAUGCCUCCCUCUAUCUACUAAGAAAAUCUCGUUGCCACUCAAUUACCGACAAAAAGAAGCACUUUACUGAGCCUUCACUGGCGGUUGACGAGCGACUUUUCCUCCUCCAUUCUGAUAACUCCUUGGUGCAGCAUCUCCAUUGCUUCGACCGGUAUUAUUGCCUCCUCUAGGCCGGCCAGAGAACUCGCCUCGCCUGUCAAAAUCAUUCCUUCCGUUAAAGCCACCACCACGGCCACCACCAAAGUUGCCACGGCCCCUGAAGUUAUCAUUUCUGUCAUUUCGGUAUCCACCACGUCCUGCAGAAUACAGACACAAUCACUCUAUUAGCUGCAACAAACAAUGUACAAGUAANNNNNNNNNNNNNNNNNNNNNNNNNNNNNNNNNNNNNNNNNNNNNNNNNNNNNNNNNNNNNNNNNNNNNNNNNNUCACACAGGAACACAAUUGUACAGCAAGAUCAACAAAAUAGACUUAAAAGGUUCAAAUUUAACAAGAGAAAUAAAUAUGGCACACUUGCCUCGCCUUUCUUCAAUGGAAAGCCUACGGUUGUCCAACAUAACAGGAGGGGAGGCCUGAAAUAAAACAUACAAUUUUUCAGAUGAAGCUAGCAGAAGGCUUCGUACACUUCUCACUUAUUGAAAAAAUAAGUUAAACAUUGAAACAUUUAAUAACAAAAUGCAAGAAAUGUCCCCUUGAUAUAUUUGGAAAAAGAAAAAAAAAACUCAAGAUUUAUAAAACCCAACCAACAUUCAAUUUAUGACCUUGCUGAUAAUGACUAUUAAUAGAAAUACUCCAUACCUCUAGGGCACUUUGCAGUGAAGCAGCAGAUUCAAAUUCCACAAAACCAAAGCAAGAUCCCUGUUGCUAAAGGAAAAAGUAUCCUAUCAGUAGCUGUAAGUCAAUGUGUGGUUAGUAAACUGGGUGUUGGAAAUGCUUAAAACAAACGAACCUUGUUACUUCUAACUUGAAUACCAUCACGUUUAAUGGUCCCGAAUUUCUUGAAAACCCGGUCCAAUUGCUCUACUGUUGCAGUCAUAGGCAAAUUCGCAACAAAUAUUGCAUGAGCCCUACCUGAGGAAAGAAUAAUUACAGAAGUUAUGACAGAACAUACCAUUUGAAUGAGACUCUUUAUACCGAAUUAUAUAAAUACUUAACCAUAGAGUCAUAAAAAGAGUAACAAUAAAAUUACCUCCAUUCUCAAUAUUCUUUUCCGAUGGAAUGUCCAUGUUAGGGGCUGGUGCUUCAGGAGCAGGCACGCUAUGUACACGGGGUGGUUGCACAGCGGGUUUUGCAGGAGAAGUCCUCGAAAGGAAGGGAGCAGAAUUAUCUUUAUAGGCACUCACCUGGAACAAAUAAUUGCAGAAAAUUUAUUGUAGGAUAACUAAAAAAUAAAGAUGCAAGUAAAUAAAUUAAUUAAUAAACAAAACUCACAAUGGAUGCAAAAGAUUUUUUGGGAGUAUCCUCCUGUGUAUUUGAAGGAACUUUCUCAAUGCUUGCCAUUUGUUCCUGAUGACUUGACUCUUUAACAUGAUUAACAGGAAUCACAUUUUCAGUAACUGAUAAUUUUCCAUUCUCCAGUGGUAAGCUCACUUCUUUGCUGAUGUUAGUGUCAGUAUCAGCAAUAACAGGUUGAAUGGUUGGAAUGUCUUCAGCAACAUGAAUAGGCUCUACAGUCAACAAUCAAAAGCAAAACUUUAAAACCCAAACUUCCAACAAUAAAAAGACUCGUAUAGUGGAAGAAAAAGAAACUAAAAUUCAAUGGGAGGAUAUAUUUAGCAUUAAAUAGCAUAAGGAAUCAAUAUUCAAAUGCAAGUAUCUGUAGUUCAGGCAUACAGCUUGAAGAAUCCCUAAUAACUGUCGUGUUUAUAAAUAUUAAUCUUGUGUGUGAUAAACUUGAGCAAUUCUAAACAUUCUUCUGUAGAAGACUCAAACUUUCUCUAAAAAGACUUGAAAACUAUCUCAUAUUAUUUCAUGUGAUUUACCAGGAUCUGGAGUAAAAGCUUCUGAUGGAGCACUUUCAUCAGCAUCAUUUGCUGGUACAGUCUCAAUAUCAACAGACUUAUACGCAUCAACAUAUCUAAAAACAUCAUUCAAAACAUAGAAGCCCUUGUCCUGUGGAGCUAGGAAAAAGGACUGAGCAAAUUUGCGUUUAACAUUGUCAGUUCCGGUCAAGCAGCCAGUCACUACAACCACAACCCCACUAUUAUAUGAAGGCUGAGCAUCAGCACUCAGAACCUCUACCCUAUAGCUUGUGUAAUCAAAAGAUUGUAUCUUUUUAUCAAUUUCCUGCAUCAAAUUAAAGAUCAUCGAAGUCAGACAGUGGUAAAUCAUGUGUCACAAUACACCAUAAUCAUACUCAAAAGCAAUAAAAAAUAGAACACCCAAAAUAUUGCAACACAUUAAGCUCGAUCAAACAUUAACUUGAACUGUAAACAGGGGAUUGAAAAUACAGCAUUCAUUAUUAAAUCCACAAAUGCCAAUCACAAAUCAUAAUAACUUUUGAUACUUUUAUUUUGCUUUGCAGAGAACAAAAUUACUCAACAGCCAGCCAACAUGAUAUUAAGUGAUUAAGAUUUAAGAGCAUGAUACAUACUAAUAAUAAUAAUAAUAAUAAUAAUAAAAAUAAAAAUAAUACAGAGGAUAUAUUUCACAUACGAACCAGUGUUAAGGUUUGACAACAGUGUAAAUCUGGCUACAUAUGAAUGAUAUCUAAUCUACAAUUUACUACAAAGAUAUGAAGCAUAUCCUGAUGCUGAUUAGGGUGCUUUCAAUAUAACAAAUAUAACGUAAUUAGGCAUGACUCAUUUUCUCAACAAAUAACAGCACAGCUAUUUUUUCAAUCAAAGAAAUACAAUUCACUGAUUCAGCAUUAACAACUGUUAAACAUGACCUAAAUCUACACUUAGAUAAUUGAACACAUCUAAAUUAUAACUAAUGAUUAAAGUUGAUUGUUUGAACUUACAGCAGUGGUAGUGACAGUUGUCAUGGUACCGUCUUCUUCAGGUCGACUCAAGACACUUGAUUCGUGGUAAAACUUAUGAACCUGAUCCGGGUCUUGGUGAAGAAUUGAGUAAUACUGCUCGACAAAAGCAUUGCCAACCACCUGAGGGGUUGGGGUUUGGACUCCAUCAGAUACUGCCAUCUCUACAACAUAACACACAAACAUAAGUUAGUAAUUUCAAAUCCAAAUUAAAGACACUCCUAUACACGACAAAAAUCCGAUCAUCAUUAACCCUAGAAACCACCGAUCAAAUAAAUGUAAACAAUUCAUAUGACCUAACCUAUUCAACGAAUACAAAAAUCGUAACUUUUAACAAUUAAAGCGAGUAUUUUUAUAAUGUUUGAUUGAAAAGCCCUAAAUCUGAAUAACAGAAUAACAACGAAACCCUAAUAAACAAUUAGAAAUCGGCGAAAUUGAAUAAUUAAAAAAGAAAAAAACACACACGUACAUGGAGAGAGAGAGAUCGAGAUCGAGAAUGGGAGAGAAAAGUAGUACGUACCUCCUUGGUGUGAUGGAGAGAUCAAAGAGAGAAAGAGAAAUGGGGAGGGAGAGUGAGUGAGUGAGAAUGCGUGCGGCUGAUGAGUGUAAGUACAAGAGAGAGUAUAUAUAGGAUCUGUUGUGAUGAGAGAGCAAGGGCAAAAUUAUUAUUAGCAAAAUAUUUAUACUCCAUUUUUUUUGUCAAAUACUCGAUUUAAUUAUUAUAAAUAAAUAUUCCAAUUUUUUUACUUUUAGUGAGCCAAACACAACAACACAUAACAACCCGGUUUAUUGUUCACACGUGAGAAUGGGAUGGAACCAGGCCAAUGUUUUGUUUGUUUUUUUUUUUGUUUGGUUCCUUCCUCUCUCUCUCACUCACUGCGGUUAUUAUGUUUCAUGUUUCAAAUAGUAUGGCAUCCAAUUUGGAUUUAAAACCAAAAUUCAUUCAUUAGAUCAGAAAUUAAGUGGUUUCAGCUCCCUCCUGAUCACAGUUGUGGGGGAUAGAACUGUGGUUUUCCCUACCAAGUUCAGCGUCAAUCACCACCGAUCGCAGUUGCGGGAGAUCAAACUGUGGUCCUCCCUACCAAGUUCAGAUUCAAUCACCACUAAACCAACUAACGAUUGAUUAUUACUAUUUUUUAUAUUUAUAAAAUUUUAUUUCGUUUCUUAAUUAGUAAGAACAUCGCAUUUUUUGCAUUUUAUAUAUAAGAAUGGAUCGGCAAUCGCAUUUAAUUAGUUGAUGACAAUUUAUAUAAAUAUAUAGUAUGUCAUGCAAUUCGAUCGAAAAAUGUAGACUUUUUGUUUAUACCAUAAGCUUUCGAUGGUCUCCACCAAGCUAGAUGUUUUGGUGGAUUGUAGUUUACUCAGGUCUGUGUGGAUUGUGUUUAUUUGUCGGCGUUUUCUUUUAGUUUGACAAGGGUCUGGUUCGACAAUAGUGUUUUCGGUGGGAGAUGUUUCUAUUCUACUUCACUUUGGUUAUAGUGUUUCGUUCUGGUUUUAGGUUCGAAUUUGGAGUAGGACGAGAGUGAGUCAUUGUAGAAUUUUAAAUUGUGUUGUUUGGGUUUGGAGCAGUAGUUUUGGUUGAGGUAAUGGAAUGAAUUAUGAGUGAUUGUGUAACAAAUAGAAACCUACGGUCUACAAACCACUAGUAUGCCUUACUUCUACGUAUGAAGCCUUUUUUUAAAACUAAGAUCUUACAUGUCAAAUUUAUUAUAUAUAGAAGUGUUUGUGUUUAUCGUCGAGAAUAACUAGUUGUACUCUGAGGGAGUUGCACAAUACUGCAGAUAAUUCUUUAGUUUAAUGUGACAACACGUCUCCGAUUAUUAAUUUUCAGUUAUCCACAACAACAAUCUAAAAGGAAUUAUGACCGAAGACGAAUUUGACUAUGGCAAAAUAACCCGCGGUUUCCACUUCUCACGUAGUUAUACCGACACGCCGACAAUGGUCACCUACCUCAAAUGUAGGUGUGGUGAUUUUAGAUUUCCCUUACUUUGUAAGACGUAAAACUGUGGGGGUUCGCCUGCUAAUAAAGGGACCAGAGGAUAGUGAUCGACUUGUUUGUAAAAAUAUGAAAAGAUAGUAAUCAAGAGAGAGGUAGAAAAUUAGAAGAAGGAUUGAGAAAAAAGAAUAAGAGUAUCUAAUAUUUGCAAAAAUAUAUGUUUGUCCGUUAUCUAUCUAUAAUUUUAUACUAUUGUGAGAUGGGGAGAGCAAUAAGGAGUCAAAGCAUGGUAUGCCUUAAAAGUAUCUGAAUCAAUAAGGUAAACUAUCUUCUACCACAAUUUCCUUAGAUAAUUUCUCUUUCAAAAAUCACAAUAAUUCAAACGAUAAACAAUUCAACAACCCUGUUCAAUUAAAGUCUUGGAGAAGCUACAUCCUACGUAAAACCAUGUCUUCGGAAGCUCACAAUGCUCCAGGGAGCGGGGAAGAGAAGNNNNNNNNNNNNNNNNNNNNNNNNNNNNNNNNNNNNNNNNNNNNNNNNNNNNNNNNNNNNNNNNNNNNNNNNNNNNNNNNNNNNNNNNNNNNNNNNNNNNNNNNNNNNNNNNNNNNNNNNNNNNNNNNNNNNNNNNNNNNNNNNNNNNNNNNNNNNNNNNNNNNNNNNNNNNNNNNNNNNNNNNNNNNNNNNNNNNNNNNNNNNNNNNNNNNNNNNNNNNNNNNNNNNNNNNNNNNNNNNNNNNNNNNNNNNNNNNNNNNNNNNNNNNNNNNNNNNNNNNNNNNNNNNNNNNNNNNNNNNNNNNNNNNNNNNNNNNNNNNNNNNNNNNNNNNNNNNNNNNNNNNNNNNNNNNNNNNNNNNNNNNNNNNNNNNNNNNNNNNNNNNNNNNNNNNNNNNNNNNNNNNNNNNNNNNNNNNNNNNNNNNNNNNNNNNNNNNNNNNNNNNNNNNNNNNNNNNNNNNNNNNNNNNNNNNNNNNNNNNNNNNNNNNNNNNNNNNNNNNNNNNNNNNNNNNNNNNNNNNNNNNNNNNNNNNNNNNNNNNNNNNNNNNNNNNNNNNNNNNNNNNNNNNNNNNNNNNNNNNNNNNNNNNNNNNNNNNNNNNNNNNNNNNNNNNNNNNNNNNNNNNNNNNNNNNNNNNNNNNNNNNNNNNNNNNNNNNNNNNNNNNNNNNNNNNNNNNNNNNNNNNNNNNNNNNNNNNNNNNNNNNNNNNNNNNNNNNNNNNNNNNNNNNNNNNNNNNNNNNNNNNNNNNNNNNNNNNNNNNNNNNNNNNNNNNNNNNNNNNNNNNNNNNNNNNNNNNNNNNNNNNNNNNNNNNNNNNNNNNNNNNNNNNNNNNNNNNNNNNNNNNNNNNNNNNNNNNNNNNNNNNNNNNNNNNNNNNNNNNNNNNNNNNNNNNNNNNNNNNNNNNNNNNNNNNNNNNNNNNNNNNNNNNNNNNNNNNNNNNNNNNNNNNNNNNNNNNNNNNNNNNNNNNNNNNNNNNNNNNNNNNNNNNNNNNNNNNNNNNNNNNNNNNNNNNNNNNNNNNNNNNNNNNNNNNNNNNNNNNNNNNNNNNNNNNNNNNNNNNNNNNNNNNNNNNNNNNNNNNNNNNNNNNNNNNNNNNNNNNNNNNNNNNNUCACAUACAAGAAAAGCUUGUUUCAUGUGCUCAUAUAAUUCUCUUACUUUACUAUAAUUAUUUUAAAUAUUAUAUGACAUAUAAUGGAAUGAAUUAUGAGUGAUUGUGUAACAAAUAGAAACGUACGGUCUACAAACCACACUAGUAUGCCUUACUUCUACGCAUGAAGCCUUUUUUGAAAACUAAGAUCUUACAUCAUCAAAUUUAUUAUAUAUAUAGAAGUGUUUGUGUCUGAGUCAUCUAGAUAUGUUUAUCGUCGAGAAUAACUAGUUGUACUCUGAGGGAGUUACACAAUAUUGCAGAUAAUUCUUUAGUUUAAUGUGACAACACGUCUCCGAUUAUUAAUUUUCAGUCAUCCACAACAACAAUCUAAGGAAUUAUGACUGAAGACGAUUCUGACUAUGGCAAAAUAACCCGCAGUUUUCCACUUCUCACGUAGUUAUACCGACACCCCAACAAUGGUCACCUACCUCAAAUGUAGGUGUGGUGAUUUUAGAUUUCCCUUACUUUGUAAGACGUAAAACUGUGGGGGUUCGCCUGCUAAUAAAGGGACCAGAGCACAGUGAUCGACUUNNNNNNNNNNNNNNNNNNNNNNNNNNNNNNNNNNNNNNNNNNNNNNNNNNNNNNNNNNUAAUCAAGAGAGAGGUAGAAAAUUAGAAGAAGGAUUGAGAAAAAAGAAUAAGAGUAUCUAAUAUUUGCAAAAAUAUAUGUUUGUCCGUUAUCUAUAAUCUUAUACUAUUGUGAGAUGGGGAGAGCAAUAAGGAGUCAAAGCAUGGUAUGCCUUAAAAGUAUCUGAAUCAAUAAGGUAAACUAUCUUCGACCACAAUUUCCUUAGAUAAUUUCUCUUUCAAAAAUCACUAUAAUUCAAACGAUAAACAAUUCAACAACCCUGUUCAAUUAAAGUCUUGGAGAAGCUACAUCCUACGUAAAACCAUGUCUUCGGAAGCUCACAAUGCUCCAGGGAGCGGGGAANNNNNNNNNNNNNNNNNNNNNNNNNNNNNNNNNNNNNAUGGCGAGCGCAAAGAUUGUAGCAGAGGCAGCUCAGUCAGGUUUCGGGAAAGGAGCUGAUGGGAAGGAUGUAGACAAAGGGAAGGUGGCAUCUGCUGCAGGGGAUCUUCUAGACGCAGUCGGUCAAUAUGCUAAAUUAGAUGAUCAGAAGGGGUUAGGACAAUAUGUUGAUAAGGCUGCUGAUUAUCUGCAU
RNAcentral lists this long non-coding RNA (78817 nucleotides) under Trifolium pratense (red clover). RNAcentral describes it as "long non-coding RNA (TPRA_LNC001093)". The stretch from base 4364 to 4435 matches the Rfam family "tRNA". The record is from RNAcentral. Lineage: Eukaryota; Viridiplantae; Streptophyta; Magnoliopsida; Fabales; Fabaceae.